UUUUCUUUUUUUUUCUUUUGCCUUUCUUAUUUUUUUUCUUUUUGGCCUUUCUCUUUUUUUUCUCUUUUUUUUGUAAAGUCCGAAGUCUCAUCCCGACUUGUGGGGGAAUCAUAGUCUUCAUCAUCCUUUCCUCACUGAGGCAAUGCUCUAAUAAUGAAGAUCAUCACACUUUUAUUGAUUUACAACUCAAGAAUUACAACUCAAAGCUAGAACAAGAUAUGACUCUAUAUGAAUGCCUCCGGCGGUGUACCGGGAUAUGCAAUGAAUCAAGAGCGACAUGUAUGAAAAUUAUGAAGGUGGACUUGCCACAAAUACGAUGUGAACUACAUGAUCAUGCAAAGAGCAAUAUGACAAUGAUGGAACGUGUCAUGAUAAACGGAACGGUGGAAAGUUGCAUGGCAAUAUAUCUCGGAAUGGCUAUGGAAAUGCCAUAAUAGGUAGGUAUGGUGGCUGUUUUGAGGAAGGUAAAUAAAGGGUUUAUGAUACCAGCGAAAGUUGCGCGGUAUAAAAGAGGCUAGCAAAGUGGAAGGAUGCGUGUGCGUAUAUCCAUGGACUCACAUUAGUCAUAAAGAACUCAUAUACUUAUUGCAAAAGUCUACUUAGCCCUCGAAGCAAAGUACUACUACGCAUGCCCCAAGAGGGAUAGAUUGGUAGGAAAAGACCAUCGCUCGUCCCCGACUGCCACUCAUAAGGAAGACAAUCAAAAGAGCACCUCAUGCAACAAAUUUGUCACACAACUUUUACCAUACGUGCAUGCUACGGGACUUGCCAACUUCAACAAAGUAUUUUUCAAUUUCAUAAUUACCCACUAGCAUGACCCUAACAUUACUACCUUUAUAUCUCAAAACAAUCAUCAAGCAACAAAUUGAUCAUAGCAUCCAAUUCACUUCCUAUGAUAGUUUUUAUUAUACCCAACUUGGAUGCUCAUCAUUCUAGGACCAAAUUUGUAACCAUAGCAAAUACCAUGCUGUUAUAAAAGACUCUCAAAAUAAUAUAAGUGAAGCAUGAGAUCCUAGCAAUUUCUUCAAAAAUAAGCCACCGCCGUGCUCUAAAAGAUAUAAGUGAAGUACUAGAGCAAAAACUAUCAAGCUCAAAAGAUAUAAGUGAAGCACAUAAAGUAUUAUAGCAAAUUCUAAUCAAGUGGGCUUCUCCCAAAAGGUGUGUACAGCAAGGAUGAUUGUGGUAAACUAAAAAGCAAAGACUAAUAUAAUACACGACGCUCCAAGCAAAACACAUAUCAUGUGGCAAAUAAAAAUAUAGCUCCAAGUAAAGUUACCAAUGAACGAAGACGAAAGAGGGGAUGCCUUCUCGGGGCAUCCCCAAGCUUAGGCUUUUGGCUAUCCUUGAAUAUCUUGGGGUGCCAUGGGCAUCCCCAAGCUUAGGCUCUUGCCACUCCUUAUUCCAUAGUCCAUAAAAGCUCUACCCAAAACUUGAAAACUUCACAACACAAAACUCAACAGGAAAUCUUAUAAGCUCCGUUAGUGAAAGAAAACAAAACCACCACAUAAGGUACUGUAAUGAACUCAUUCUUUAUUUAUUUUGGUGUUAAACCUACUGUAUUCCAACUUCUCUAUGGUUUAUAAACUAUUUUACUAGCCAUAGAUGCAUCAAAAUAAGCAAACAACACAUGAAAAAAAAUCUGUCAAAAACAGAACAGUCUGUAGCAAUCUGUAACUAACGCAAACUUCUGGAACACUAAAACUCCUAUGAAAAUAGGAAGUCCUGGAAAAUUUAUCUAUUGAUUAGCAGAAAAAAGAAUCAACGCAAAAGCACGUUUUUGUGAUUUAACAAAACUAAUUUCGUGCGCGCAAAGUUUCUGUUUUUCAGCAGAAUCAAAUCAACUAUCAUCAUAGGUUAUCCUAUAGGUUCUACUUGGCACAAACACUAAUUAAAAGAUAAAAACACAUCUAAACAGAAGGUAGAUGCAAAAUUUAUUACUAAACAGGAACAAAAACAAAAAACACAAAGAAAAUUGAGUUUCCUCCCAACUAGCGCUAUCGUUUAACGCCCCUAGCUAGGCAUAAAAGCGAAGAUAGAUCUAAGUAGUGCCAUAAUAAUAAGAUAGAUCUUGAAAACUCAUCUCAUAUUCCCUACGUUCGGCAGCAAGUUUUCUUUGAGGCGAGAAAAAGUAAUCAAAAGGGCUAAAUUUAGCGGGACAAAAGUCCCCAAGAUCAAUCUCAGGAGGAACGGGUUCCUCCCUUGGCCCUUCAUAAUGCACAACAAAUUCAUCACUAAAAGCAUUCUUUUGGCAUAAUCUCGUGAGCCUAUAGUCAAGAGAGUAUCCUAGCUCAUUAUUUCGAAGAGAGAAAUCGUUAUUAAGUUCGGAAAUUCUAUCAACCAAGACAUUGGUAGGAACCUUUUUUCUAAGGUUUUCAAUGAAAGCAACAUAGUCCGAAGAUUGAAAACGCCUAAAUUCUUCUUGAUCAUAGAGGAUCGCCUCUAUGGGAGGACGACUGGCGUCCACCCUAUAGUGCGCAAAUAUUUCUUUGGCCUCUCUUAUGAUAAAUCUAAACUCAUUAGCCAAAAAGAUAGUAACAGCGCGCUUAACAGAAGAAUGCUCAAUAUUAGAAAAUUCUAGGAAAAUUCUUUGUAUGCAAGGAUGCAUAUGCAUAAAUUGUCUUUCAAGUUCAACUACAAGCAUAGCGAUAACAUCCGCAAGACUACUAGUUCUAUGAAGAAUAGAACCACCCAUGGAAGGUAAAGCACCGACACAAGUAAAGAAAUCUUGCAUAACACCUUUUCCAAUGAUGUUACCACUACCGAUUCGAAACUUUUUAGUAUGCAAGAUAGGGGGUUCUUCGGCUGGAGCCUCAGAAUUUUCCAUAUUAUCAUUAUUGUCCAUAUCGAUGAUAAUCUCCCCAAUUUCAUACAUAACGGCAAACAAAAGCAAGGAGGAAGAAAGCGAGCAAAAGAGAGAGGAGGAGAUUGGGAAAGAGAGGGCGAAUAAAACGGCAAGGGUGAAGUGGGGGAGAGGAAAACGAGAGGCAAAUGGCAAAUAAUGUAAAUGCGAGGGAGAUGAGUUUGUGAUGGGUACUUGGUAUGUCUUGACUUGAGCGAAGACCUCCCCGGCAACGGCGCCAUAAAUCCUUCUUGCUACAUCUUGAGCUUGCGUUGGUUUCCUUGAAGAGGAAAGGAUGAUGCAGCAAUAGUAGCGUAAGUAUUUCCCUCAGUUUUUGAGAACCAAGGUAUCAAUCCAGUAGGAGGCUCCUCAAAAGUCCCACGCACCUACACAAACAAACAAAGAACUCGCAACCAACGCAAUAAAGGGGUUGUCAAUCCCUUCACGGCCACUUGCGAAAGUGAGAUCUGAUAGAGAUAAUAUGAUAAGAUAAAUACAUUUUUGGUAUUUUAUAAUAUAGAUGCAAAAAGUAAAGAUGCAAAUAAAAGUAUAUUGAAAGCUUAUAUGAUAAAAGAUAGACCCGGGGGCCAUAAGUUUCACUAGAGGCUUCUCUCAAGAUAGCAUAAGUAUUACGGUGGGUGAACAAAUUACUAUCGAGCAAUUGAUAGAAAAGCGAAUUAUUAUGAGAUUAUCUAGGCAUGAUCAUGUAUAUAGGCAUCACGUCCGUAACAAGUAGACCGACUCCUGCCUGCAUCUACUACUAUUACUCCACACAUAGACCGCCUCCUGCCUGCAUCUACAGUAUUAAGUUCAUAAAGAACAGAGUAACACAUUAAGCAAGAUGACAUGAUGUAGAGGGAUAAACUCAUGCAAUAUGAUAUAAACCCCAUCUUUUUGUCCUUGAUGGCAACAAUACAAUACGUGCCUUCCAACCCUUUCUGUCACUGGGUAAGGACACCGCAAGAUUGAACCCAAAGCUAAGCACUUCUCCCAUUGCAAGAAAGAUCAAUCUAGUAGGCCAAACCAAACUAAUAAUUCGAAGAGACUUGCAAAGAUAACUCAAUCAUACAUAAAAGAAUUCAGAGCAGAUUCAAAUAUUUCUCAUAGAUAAACUUGAUCAUAAACCCACAAUUCAUCGGAUCUCGACAAACACACCGCAAAAAGAGUUUACAUCGAAUAGAUCUCCACAAGAGAGGGGGAGAACAUUGUAUUGGGAUCCACAAAGUGAGAAGAAGCCAUCUAGCUAAUAACUAUGGACCCGAAGGUCUGUGGUAAACUACUCACAACUCAUCGGAGGGGCUAUGGUGUUGAUGUAGAAGACCUCCAUGGUCGAUUCCCAUUUCAGCGGAGCGCCGGCGAAGGCUCCAAGAUGGGAUCUCGCGGAUACAGAAGGUUACGGCGGUGGAAAUUGUGUUUCGUUGGCUCCUUGGAUGUUUUCGGGGUACAUAGGCUUAUAUAGGAGGAAGAAGUACGUUGGUGGCUGCCCGAGGGGCCCACGAGAUAGGGGCGCGCCCAGAGGGGGUGGGCGCGCCCUCCUGUCUCGUGGCCGCCUCGGCUGCUUCUUGACUUGCACUCCAAGUCCUCUGGAUCACGUUCGUUCCAAAAAUCACGCUCCCGAAGGUUUCAUUCCAUUUGGACUCCGUUUGAUAUUCCUUUUCUUCGAAAUACUAAAAUAGGCAAAAAAACAGCAAUACGGGCUGGGCCUCCGGUUAGUAGGUUAGUCCCAAAAAUGAUAUAAAUGUGUAAAAUAAAGACCAUAAACAUCCAAAAGGGGUAAUAUAAUAGCAUGGAACAAUCAAAAAUUAUAGAUACGUUGGAGACGUAUCACAUGUCUCAUGAUUUUAUUUUUUCUUAAUUUCAUAGACGACCCCAUGAUAAAGAAUUGCCUAGUAAAGAUGAAAUAAUUAGUCUUGCUUCUAUUGCUGUGCCUCCUAAUGAUCCUUUAGAACAAUAUUUGCUAGACCAUGAAAAUGAUAUGUUUAUGAAUGAAAGAAGGGAAAUAGAUGAAGUAUUCUUUAAACAGGGACCCAUUUUGAAACACAACUUGCCUGUUGAAAUCCUAGGGUAUCCCCCUCCAACCAAGGGUGAUCCCAUGUUUGAGCUUAAACCAUUACCUGAUACUCUUAAAUAUGCUUAUCUUGAUGAAAAGAAGAUAUAUCAUGUUAUUAUUAGUGCUAACCUUUCAUAGAAGGGAGAAGAGAAAUUAUUGAAAACUCUGAAGAAGCACCACACUGUUAUUGAAUAUACUCUUGAUGAUCUUAAGGGCGUCAUCCCCACUCUAUGCCAGCACAAAAUAAAAUUGGAGAAAGACGCUAAACCAGUUGUUGAUCACCAACGACAGUUAAAUCCUAAGAUGGAAGAAGUGGUAAGAAAUGAAAUACUGAAGCUUCUGGAGGCAGGUAUAAUUUAUCCUGUUGCUGAUAGUCAGUGGGUAAGUCCUAUCCAUUGUGUCCCUAAAGAAGGGAGGUAUUACUGUUGUUCCUAAUGAUAAAGAUGAAUUGAUCCCACAAAGGAUUGUUACAGGUCAUAGAAUGGUCAUUGAUUUCCGCAAAUUAAAUAAAGCUACAAGAAAAGAACAUUACCUUUACCUUUUAUUGAUCAAAUGCUAGAAAGAUUAUCCAAACAUACACAUUUUGCUUUCUAGAUGGUUAUUCUGGUUUCUCUCAAAUACCUGUGUCAAAAGAGGAUCAGGAUAAGACCACUUUUACUUGCCCUUUUGGUACCUUUGCUUAUAGAUGCAUGCCUUUUGGUUUAUGUAAUGCACCUGCUACCUUUCAAAGAUUUAUGACUGCUAUAUUCGUCGACUUUUCUGAAAAGAUUGUUAAGGUUUUCAUGGAUGAUUUCUCCGUGUAUGGAACUUCUUUUGAUGAUUGCUUAAGCAGCCUUGAUCGAGUCCUGCAGAGAUGUGAAGAAACUAAUCUUGUCUUGAAUUGGGAGAAGUGCCACUUUAUGGUUAAUGAAGGUAUUGUCUUGGGGCAUAAGAUUUCUGAAAGAGGUAUUGAAGGUUAUAAAGCUAAAGUUGAUGCUAUUGAAAAGAUGUCGUGUCCUAAGGACAUCAAAGGUAUAAGAAGUUCCCUUGGUAUUGCCGGUUUUUAUAGGAGGUUCAUUAAAGAAUUCUCAAAAAUUUCUAGUCCUCUGACUAAUCUAUUACAAAAAAAAAUGUUCCUUUUGUCUUUGAUGAUGAUUGCGUAGAAGCAUUUGAAAUACUUAAGAAGCCUUGAUUUCUGCACCUAUUUUUCAGCCUACUGAUUGGAAUUUACCCUUUGAAAUCAUGUGGGAGGCUAGUGAUUAUGUUGUAGAUGCUGUUCUAGGACAAAGAGUUGAUAAGAAAUUAAAUGUUAUCCAAUAUGCUAGUAAAACUUUAGACAGUGCCCAGAGAAAUUAUGCUACCACUGAAAAAGAAUUUUUAGCAGUUGUAUUUGCUUGUGAUAAGUUCAGACCUUAUGUUGUUGAUUGGGUUAAUUAUCCUUUUGCCCUCAGUGGUGUCCAUGUGCUCAGUUUUGCCCUCAGAUGCAAAUUGUCCUCAGUUUUGCCCCUAGUCCGAGCACAGCAACUACGACGAGGCCAAACGGCCAUAUUUGAGUCCAUUCCGUCCGCCGGCGUUAGUAGUUGUGGGUCCGGAGCUUACACGUGGGACCGCGUGGUUGUGGGUCCGGAGCUGACAUGUAGGCCCCUGCAACUAAAUCCCCAAAUCAUUCUAGCUCACACCCAUCCGCCCGGCCGGCUGUCCUGCGCCGCCGUCGCCGCCACCUGCGCCGCAGCCAGCACCUGCCGCGCCACCAGUUGCACGGCCUGCUCCGCCGCUACCUCCCUGUGCCUACGCUCCAUGGCUCAUUGUGACGCCCACCACCUUCCUGCGACGCCACGGGUGGGGCGCCCGCCACCUGCUCGAUUCGCGGCGCGGCCUCCUUCCGUGCGCCCGGCCGGAGCGCUCAAAGGUGGGGGGCUUCUGGAGCUAUUUGAACUAGGAGGAAGAACCCUAGGGAGAAAUGGUGAGCAGCGGCGACCCCGGAGUAUUUGGCGAGGCAGGCAUCGGGCCGGAGAUCCGCCGUGUCCACGACUGGGUUCCCGAGGGGUAAGUCUCGCAUCUUGUUUAGAUUGAGCUUAGUUGUGCAUUUGAACACUCGAUUCGAGUAGGUUUGCCCAAUUAGUGUGCUGAUUGCGUCUCUGUUUUUCGCCGGUUAGGAUGAGUUGCGGUUUGCUUUCAUGGUGCACAUUAGAAGGGACCGGUACAUGUUCGAUGCAAAGGAUAAGAAGAAAUACCAAGGAGGUUUUGAUUAUCGGUUGCCAAUGGCUAGUAAUUGGAGUUUCAGACAAUUUGGGGAGGUAAUUUGUAGCCAAUAUCCUUGGGGUUUGCUUGAUGAAGUGGUAUACAAAUACUAUGAUGGGGAAAAGAAUUGGGUGACAGUUAGUAAUGAUGAAGAGCUAGCUACCAUGUUUGUUAGCAUAAAGAGAAAGAUAAUUUUCAUGUGAGGCUGCAAGUUGAUGUGCUUGAGCACGCAUUUGGACCUAGGAUGGCGGUUGCAACAUCUCGGGGAGAAUCAAGUCGUCGUAAUGGCAUCUCUAGCCAGAAUAGUUCAGUUGGUGCACGGCGACAUGGUGGCUCGACAAGUGUGGGCAACAGCAGUAGGGUCCCCCUUGAAGUGGAGCCUGAUGGCUACAAUUCUGGGGUUGAUGAAGAGAAGUUAUAUUCUGAUGUUAUUCAGAAUUUACGACGGGCACCUCGGGCUGAAAACCAAGAUGAGGCUCACAAUGCAGUCCGUGUGGAUGAUGACGCGAUGGGUGAGGACGAAGACCUUGCAGCUGUUGAAUGGGACCCUUUGAACCCUCAAAUGGAAGAAGGUACAGUUUUUGCAUCCAUGAAUGAGUGUAGAAAUGCACUUGUGACAUACUGCAUCAAGGUAGAACGUACUUUCAAAGUUGACAAGAGCGAUCAAGUACGUUACAGAGUGCACUGUUCGACUGAGGGUUGUCCAUGGAGGCUGCUUGCAGCUAAAAUGCGGAAUAGCACUAAUGUUCAGGUCAAAGUGAAUCCUUUUAAGCACACAUGCCAGGAAUCAACCCUUAGGAAGGAUACAAUCAGUAGAGCCAAGUCAAGAUGGGUGGCAGAAGAAGUAAAAAAGUGGGUGAAAGAAAACCAGCAAGUGGGUCCAAAGGAAUUGUAGAAGAACAUCAAAGAUAAGUUCAAGAUAGAUUUACCAUACAUGAGGUUGUUCAAUGGUAAACAACAUGCUAUGGAUUCUAUUUAUGGUAACUGGCGGGAAAGUUUUUAAUUGUUGUAUUCAUUCAAAGGUGAAGUGGAGAGGACAAGCCCAGGUAGUAUUGUAGAUAUUGAUCACCACACCGAGGAGUACACAUUCAGGGGAGUGACAAAGACCAAGGAAUGCUUUAGAAGGGUUUUUGUCUGCUUUGAGGCUUGCCGCCGGGGUUUUUUGGCAGGCUGCAGGCCUUAUUUGGCUAUUGAUGCCACUUUUCUCACAGGAAGGUUUAAAGGACAGUUAGUAGCAGCUUGUGCAGUUGAUGCACAUAGUUUUGUAUUUCCAGUUGCCUAUGGUGUGCUGGAGACAGAGUCUGAGGAGAGCUGGACUUGGUUUUUGCAUAAUCUCCGCCGGGCUAUUGCACAUCCCAAUGGGUUGGUCAUUCAUACAGAUGCCUGCAAAGGUUUAGAAGUGGCCGUGGACAAUGUGUUCCCUGGAGUAGAGCAUAGGGAAUGCAUGCGUCACCUUGCUGCAAAUUUCAUGAAGAAAUUCAAAGGAAAGGUGUAUACCGACAAUUUAUGGCCAGCAUCUUUGACAUGCAGUGUCAAGAAGCACAACUACCACUUGAGGCAGUUAUAGAUGAAUCCCAAAGUGAAAGAAUACUUGGAAACACACCACUCCAAGUUAUGGGCCAGAAGCCAAUUCAGUGAAGUGAGCAAAGUUGACUAUGUGCACAAUAAUCUAGCAGAGUCUUUCAACUCAACGAUCCGGAAACUAAAGGGUCAUUAUGUGGUGGAUUUGCUUGACAGGAUAAGGAUAGAAUACAUGCAGAAAUUUCAUUAUCGUGCAGGAAUAGCCGAGGCAAAAUUCAUGGGCCACAUUAUCAUCCCUGGCGUGAUGAAUGAACUGAAGCAAAAGACAAUAGGCAUGGAAAUGAACAUGACGCUUUGCUCGGGUACCACAGCAGAGAUAUCAUAUUUGGAUAAAGAGAAGAGGGAAUGGAGAUAUCCAGUGGAUUUAGAAGCUAGAACUUGCAGUUGUAGGCAAUGGCAGAUAACUGGGUUGACAUGCAUUCAUGCCUUGUUUUUCAUCACUUCUCUCCCAGGUCCAGCAGGGAACAUACAACAGUAUGUGCAUGAUUACUACUCUGUUGCAAGGUUCAAAGCCACAUAUGCUUAUGCCUUGCCUGCUAUGGAGGGAAAACAACAAUGGGACAUGGUGGACCCUGGAUUCAAGCUUUGCGCUCCAGUUCUGAAGAGAGCAGCAGGUAGACCAAGGAAGAGUCGAAUAAGACCUCGCAGCGAAGGAGCUGGACUUGGAGCGAGGAAGCGUAAGUGCACAAGAUGUGGUGGGUCUGGUCAUUUCGGUAAGUAUUGUGAUAACACAGUAGAUCCAGCGUUCGGAGAGAGUUUCGAUGAAGGCUUCGAUGAAAAUGUUGGUCAGCAGCCGGUUGCCUCAACAGAUGAUGAAAAUGUUGGUCAACAGCCGGUUGCCUCAACAGAUGAUGAAAAUGAUGGUCAACAGCCGGUUGCAUCAGAUGAGGAUUUUGACGAGGUUCCAAAUGAUGAUGGUCAACAGCCGCAUGAUUUUGACGAUGAUCCAAAGUAUCCUCCAAAUAAUGAUUCAAGUGAGGCUCCAAAUGGUGAUCCAAGUGAGGCUCUAAAUGGUGAUCAUGGUGAUCCAAGUGAGGCUCCAAAUGAUGAUCCAAGUGAGGCUCCAAAUGGUGAUCCAAGUGAGGCUCUAAAUGGUGAUCAUGGUGAUCCAAGUGAGGCUCCAAAUGGUGACCAACCUUCUGUUGUUGUGAGUUCUGCUAGGUAUGUAAAUCUUGCAAGGGUCAAAUACUACUGUACAUCUAUCACUUGACACGAUCUCAUUACCGUUUAUGUUUGGACCCUUUAUGUUUUGCACAGCUCUAUGGUAGGUUUGAAGAAGACGCGCAAGGUACCGACAACCAAGAGAAGAAGAGAAGAAACAAUGAGCACAAGGUGCACGAGGAGCAAAGUGAUGGCAAGAAGCUCAAGGAACAGACAGAAGCCCCAACGCUAUCUAUGAACAAUUAUGAAACAUUAUGAAUAAGGAAUGAUGUUGUAUUAUGAAACAUUUAUCACUUGACAUGUUGUAUUUCUGUUGGAUGAUGUUGGACCUAUGUUAGAAGUAUGUUUGACAUGAUGUUUAAAUAUCUGUUGGAUGAUGUUUGAAUGAGCACAUGGUUUUCCCUUUUUUUGAUUUUUUUGAAUUUUGUUUUGCUCAUUUAAAUUCUGGUCAAACCUAACUUUGACCAAGAUUUAAGCAAGUCUAAAACAUCAAAAUGAAAAACUAAGCCUGGAUACUUCUUAGUCAAUCCAAAAUGAAGUUGUGGUGAGGUUUUUGAAAUUUUCAUGAAAAAUGUGCUAAAAAGAGGGGUCCAAAGGUAGGGUAAACGGCCUCAUUUCUAAGCAAGGUGUUUUUCGACCUUAUCUAAAUCAGCCAAAUAACUUUCCUACACAUAUAUUCUAUAUGUACAGACUAUGUGCGCUGGUUUUUCCAUUUUUUGAUUUUUUUUUAAAUUUGUUUUGCUCAUUUGAAUUCUGGUCAAACUUAACUUUGACCAAGAUUUAAACAAGUGUAAAACAUCAAAAUGAAAAACUAAGCCUGGAUCCUUCUUAGUCACUCCAAAAUGAAGCUGUGGUGAGUUUUUUGAAAUUUUCAUGUUCAUUUCCCCAAAACACUUCUCUUCACUUCAUACAAGAGAGUUUGAGAUACUCGAGAUAUCAUACAAUACACAUGAACUUAUCAUUUAAAUGUAUGUAAAGCUUGUUUAUCAACUUAAAUCGUUAGUAUAUGACAUAAGAAGACUAUGUGUGCAGGUUUUUCAUUUUUCUGAUUUUUAUUUAAUUUAUUAUGCUCAUUUGAAAUCUGGUCAAACAUAGCUUUGACUGCUCCAAACCCCUCCCAAACCCCGCUAACCCUAGCGCUGAAUAAGGACUGUUCAUCUAACCCUAGUGGUGAUCAAGGGCCGUCGAUCUAACCCUUCUAGAAGAAAUCUGCGGGGAGGAGGGGGGCGAUCCGCGAGAUGCAAUCUGAUUGGCUGGGAGAUUGUUUUUUUAACAAAUAUCGGACGCGCUGGAUGGACCGUUGGGCCGUCUCGUUGUCUGGGCCUGAGAUCGCAGUAAAUAGCCCGUCUCAGCCUUUCCAGGCCUUGCAUGCAUGGAGGCGGCUACGUGGGUUUGCGCAUGCGCGGGAGGCGGCGACGUGCAUGCAUGCGAGUGAGGCGAGCGAGGCGCGCUAGGCGAGCUAGGCGAGCUAGGCUAGCGAGGCGAGCUAGGUGGUUCAGGGCAGUGGUUCAGGGCAGCGGUUCACAUGCACUGCCCGGUCAAAGAUGCAUCGUUUUCAUGCAAAAAUUUAAGUGUGCAAAACGUAACGGAUACACACACGCGUCCGGAUUCACGCACGCACCGUUCUCAUCCUUUCUCUCUUCCUCUCCCACCCACAGGCCUAUAAAUGGGGUGCCUCUCUUCCUCUCCCACCCACAAGCCAGAUCCGAUCCUCUCCAACUUCAAACACCCAAGCGACCAAGCCCUCCCCAAGCGAGACCAAGUGAAGAAGAUGCAGUUCAACGGGCCGACCAUCCGCCGUCCGCCUGUGGUGCCGGAGCUGCGCUACCCACCGGGCGUGCUCGUGGAGAGGGAGCUCCGUGUGUGGGCUAUUUCAAGGUGGAGGGGUUCCGUCGAACUCACCCGCGCCUUCCUCAGAGCCGGCUAUGCCCACCUCCCACGGGGCUCACCGAGGAUGUUCACCCUCAACGAGGUUCAUGACCGCGGCGGCAUCCUCGUACUGCUCACGGUCACCUUCACCAACCCAUUUGACGUGCGCGAGCUCCUCGGCCAAGUCUUUUGGUGCGGCUGCGAGGCCAUCUUCUUCACCAUCUACAACAUCUACACCAACUACGAGCGCAUCUUCCCCGCUCCAGGCCAGAUGCACUCCCUUCCCUACGACGACGAGGAGGAGGUGUGAAGAUGAAGAUGGUGUUGAAGGGGCGCGCGCGGCCAAGGUGGAAGAAGGAGGUCAAGAUGAAGAUGUUCAAGCCCGGAGUCAAGCUUGUCAUGUUUGGUUUUUUAUUUUGUUGCUUUUCUAUGUCAUGUCGUGUCGUGUCAUGUUUCGUCAUGUGUCCAUGAACUGUCUGUGAACUUAUCUAAGUUAUUGUAAUGGUACGGUGUGUUCUAUCUCAUUAUGUGUGUUAAAAAAUGUCCGUGCCCAAACUUAUCAUUUCUUCCCUAAACAAGUCAUGAAGUUCAAGAACUUGUGGUUUUCAUUAAUGAAAAUCGUAGGGGGUGAGAAGCCCUCUGUUUCAUUCAAACAAAAAGUCAUGAACUAACAUGUAAAUUUAUUCCCUUUAAAUCCUAAACCAAGUGCCACUCUAACCCUAAACCAAGUGCCACUCUGACCAAAAUCAUGUGGUAGUGCAACAUACAUUUUCAACCUUCCAACCCUCCAAAAUUUAAGUGCAAAACAAAGGAAAACCACUCUCACGCGUGUGCAAACAUUCACGGUCUCACUAUUUUUUUUAAAAAAAAUUCACAGUCUCACUAUGUAUACCUUCCUUCCCUACCCAUGUCAAAGUCUUGCCAUCUGUCCUAGCGGUUACCAGCGCAUCCCUAAACACCACAAACCCACGCGGUCCUGGGUACGAGUCCCCAGCCGCACCAAUUUUUUGUGCAUUUUCCACCCUUCAUUUUUUUAUACAUAUUAUGUUUUCCUCAAUGUAAUGCCCUUAAAAAAUGUUCAUUUAUUUUGGCACCUGGCGUAAACCUCUACCAGAGCUGAGGCACAUUUUCCAUGACAUUUUGGUCUUUGAUUUAAAUCACGGUGUAUUUGAAUUGGAUUAAUUAACAGCUCCAAAAAAUUUCUAACCUUAAUUGUUUGGCUCCGGAAUAAUUCAAUUAGCUUCCACAAAAAGUUUCAGCAUUAUGAUUUACUGCCUAAAUUAAAUCAGAAUAGAAAACAAAAAAAUACGCAAGAAAACCCCUGAAUGGGCCUAAUUGGAUGCAGUUGGCCCAUUAGUCUAGCCCGCACUUGGCUCUACGCUCUGAAUUUGGCCCAAGAGAAACCUUUUUUUCAGACAGAAAGGCAGAGCAGAGAGCUACAUUUCAUUGAUCAAAAGUUUCUGAAUUCCUAAUUUCUUCUCUUUUUUCCAACAUAUUUAAAUGUUGGUCACUUCUUCUCUUUUUGUUUCAACAUUUAAACAACUUUAACCAACAUUUAAACUAGGUGAAUUUCUCAAACAAUUUCAAGAUUACAAAUUCCUUCAUAAUUCAUGCCUUUCCAUACAUUUUCAACAUUACAACCAGUGCGAUUACCAUACCUACAAAUGCCCAAAAGUAUUUGAAAAUGGGUAUUGGUAGUGCUUGAUCUUCAAGCUUCCUAACCUUCUUCUUCAACAUCCUAAGCUCAAUAGCUAGCUCUCUGUCAGUGCGUGCUUCGCCAUCCAUCUCUUCUUCCGGAGCUCGUGGUGUGGCCACUGCCGUUCGUGGCAGCAUGCGCAACCAUUCUUCAUGCUCUUCUUGUAGUUCAUUCAUCAGAGUCUUGUCCAGAGCAUCGACCCAAAGAAAGAAGCAUGUCACCUGCAUGAACACUAAACAGAUCAACCCAUUGCUCAAACAUCCCGACGACGAAAAUGGUGCAAUUGCCCCGAUUCUUACCCCAUUCUCGCUGCACACGUAGAACGGACGAUUCUGGUUCCUCGGUGUCUGAGAAACCCUUCGAUCAACACCUGCCCGGCACCGCGGACAGACGAAGACAGGCAUGUCCACACGCGCCCGGCUCUGCAUCCGCGAGGUGGCGCGGGAGCUUGAGGAAGACAUGGAGCUCGGAGCCGAAGGGGAUCUCAACGCCGCCGCGCCCUCCACUGCUAGCUUCCCACCGCCGCGCCCUCCACAGCUAGCUUCCCGCCGCCGUGCUCUCUCUCUCGCCGUGGUCACCGCCGUGCUCUCUCUCGCCGUGGUCACCGCGGCUGUCGCCCGCUUAUAUAGCACACCCGCCAACGGCUCUCUGCUCAACGGCUCUUUGCUGGGUCCCACAAGCCACGUGUGCAACGGUCUGAAUAAAAUUGGCCGUUUCUGCCGCCUGGUCCCACCUGUAAGGGCCGAGUCAAAAGGUUGACCUGACGGAGACGGCAGAGUUCACGGAACGAGUCGGUGUGCACGGACUAGGGGCAAAACUGAGCACAAUUCGCAUCUGAGGGCAAAACUGAGCACAUGGACACCACUGAGGGCAAAAGGAUAAUUAACCCUUGUUGAUUCCAAAGUAAUUGUUCACACUGAUCAUGCUGCUAUUAAAUACCUUAUGGAAAAGAAAGAUGCUAAAUCCAGACUUAUUAGAUGGGUUCUCUUGCUACAAGAAUUUGAUUUGCAUAUUAUUGAUAGAAAGGGAGCUGAGAACCCCGUUGCAGACAACUUGUCUAGGUUAGAGAAUGUUCAUGAUUACCCACUACCUAUUGAUGAUAGCUUUCCUGAUGAACAAUUAGUUGUCAUAAAUGCUUCUCGUACUACUCCAUGGUAUGCUGUUUAUGCUAAUUACAUUGUUGCUAAAUUUAUACCACCUAGUUUCACAUACCAGCAAGAGAAAAAGUUUUUCUAUGAUUUAAGACAUUACUUCUGGGAUGACCCACACCUUUAUAAAGGAGUAGAUGGUGUUACUAGAUGUUGUGUACCUGACCAUGAAUAGGAACAGAUCCUACGCAAGUGUCACUCCGAGGCAUAUGGAGGACAUCAUGCGGGAGAUAGAACUGCACAUAAGGUAUUGCAAUCCGGUUUUUAUUGGCCUACUCUCUUCAAAGAUGCCCAUAAGUUUGUCUUGUCUUGUGAUGAAUGUCAAAGAAUUGGUAAUAUUAGUAGACGUCAAGAAAUGCCUAUGAACUAUUCACUUGUUAUUGAACCAUUUGAUGUUUGGGGCUUUGAUUAUAUGGGACCGCUUCCUUCCUCUAAUGGAUAUACACAUAUUUUAGUUGCUGUUGAUUACAUUACUCAGUGGGUAGAAGCUAUUCCAACUAGUAGUGUUGAUCAUAAUACCUCUAUUAAGAUUCUUAAAGAAGUUAUUUUUCCGAGGUUUGGAGUCCCUAGAUACUUAAUGACUGAUGGUGGUUCACAUUUUAUUCAUGGUGCUUUUUGUAAAAUGCUUGCUAAUUAUGAUGUUAAUCAUAGAAUUGCAUCUCCAUACCAUCCACAGUCUAGUGGUCAAUUAGAAUUGAGUAAUAGAGAGAUCAAAUUAAUUUUGGAAAAGACUGUUAAUAGAUCUAAAAAGAAUUGGUCCAAGAAACCUGAUGAUGCAUUAUGGGCCUAUAGAACUGCAUAUAAAAAUCCUAUGGGUAUGUCUCCGUAUAAAAUGGUUUAUGGAAAAGCAUGUCACUUACCUCUCGAACUAGAACAUAAGGCAUAUUGGGCCAUUAAAGAGCUCAAUUAUGAUUUCCAACUUGCCGGUGAGAAGAGACUACUUAGCAUUAGCUCACUUGAUGAAGGGAGAACCCAUGGCUAUGAGAAUGCCAAACUGUUUAAAGAAAAAGUUAAAAGAUGGCAUGACAAAAUGAUACAAAAGCGUGAGUUUAAUGUAGGUGAUUCUGUUUUGCUAUACAACUCUUGUUUAAGAUUUUUUUUUGCAGGAAAACUUCUCUCUAAAUGGGAAGGCAUUUGGAAGUAAUAAGUAGAUGAUGGGUUGCUAGAGUGACAGAAGCUUAAACCCUAGUUUAUCCGUUGCUUCGUAAGGGGCUGAUUUGGAUCCAUAUUUUUCAUGCUAUGGUCAGGUUUACCUUAAUUCUUCUUUCGUAGUUGCGGAUGCUUGCGAGAGGGGUUAAUCAUAAGUGGGAUGCUUGUCCAAGGAAGGGCAGUACCCAAGCACCGGUCCACCCACAUAUCAAAUUAUCAAAGUAACGAACGCGAGUCAUAUGAGCAUGAUGAAAACUAGCUUGACGAUAAUUCCCAUGUGUCCUCAGGAGAGCUUUCCUUCAUAUAAGAGGUUGUCCAGACUUGUCCUUUGCUACAAAAAGGACUGGGCCACGUUGUUGCACCUUGUUUACUUCUGUUACUUGUUACCCGUUACAAAUUACCUUAUCACAAAACUAUCUAUUACUAAUAAUUUCAGUGCUUGCAGAGAAUACCUUACUGAAAACCGCUUGUCAUUUCCUUCUGCUCCUUUUUGGGUUCGACACUCUUACUUAUCGAAAGGACUAUGGUAGAUCCCCUAUACUUGUGGGUCAUCACUCGUCGGGUGAAACGGAAAAGGAUCUGCCCUCGAGAUUCUGUUGGUACUUAUAGUGCAGUUGAAAGGAUCGAGAAGAGGUGUCUAGAGGGGGGGUGAUUAGACCCUCAACAAACAAAGUUCGCAGCUCCAAUUAUAGCCCCUCUGGGGUGUAAAAUAUAUCUCUUCUCACCAUCCCCAUAGUGGGAAUUGUGCGGAUUUCGCAACUGCACCAAGGAAUAAUAAAAAAGCACACAAAGAUUUUCAAAUCUUUUCUAUUUAGUAGUCUAAGUUUCUCGAUGAGGAUAAUUAAUUCGGUCAUUGUGGUCGGACUCUAUUAUGGAUUUCUGCGGGUUCAAUUCCCGUCGCUCGCCCAUCGCAUUAUUGCAAAUUCCAAAAAUGCAAUUUUCCAUAUUUUAAGUUUUUCAAGUUGAGGUAAAAGAUUAGCACAAUUUCAAGCAAACACAAUACAUAUCAAGCAAGCAUGCAAAGAGUAUAUCAACAGCGGAAAGUAAAGCAUGCAACUUGCAAGAAAGUAAAGGGAUGGGAUUGGAGUGUGCAAACGCAAUUGGAGACACGGAUGUUUUUGGCGUGGUUCCGACAGGUGGUGCUAUUGUACAUCCACAUUGAUGGAGACUUCAACCCACGAAGGGUAACGGUUGCGCGAGUCCACGGAGGGCUCCACCCACGAAGGGUCCACAAAGAAGCAACCUUGUCUAUCCCACCAUGGUCAUCGCCCACGAAGGACUUGCCUCACUAGGGUAGAUCUUCACGAAGUAGGCGAUCUCCUUACCCUUACAAACUCCUUGGUUCAACUCCACAAUCUUGUCGGAGGCUCCCAAGUGACACCUAACCAAUCUAGGCGACACCACUCUCCAAAAGGUAAUAGAUGGUGUGUUGAUGACGAACUCCUUGCUCUUGUGCUUCAAAUGAUAGUCUCCCCAACAAUCAACUCACUCUCAAAGGAUUGGAUUUGGUGGAAAGAUGAUUUGAGUGGAAAGCAACUUGGGGAACGCUAGAUAUCAAGAUUCAUAUGGUUGGAUUGGAAUAUCUUGGUCUCAACACAUGAGUAGGUGGCUCUCUCUCAGAAAAUGAGUAGUGGAAGUGUAGACACGUUCUAAUGGCUUCCCUCAUGAAUGAGGAGAGGGUGGAGGGGUAUAUAUAGCCUCCACACAAAAUCUAACCGUUACAUACAAUAUACCAAACUCGGUGGGACCAAAUUAGAAAACUCAGUCGGACCGAUCCAAUACAUAAGGUGACCAUUAGGCAAUUUCGGUGGGACUGACAUGAUCAACUCCGUGGGACCGAUGUGCUAGGGUUAGGGUAGAACCUCAUCUCGGUUUGACCGAUUACACAAACUCGGUUGGACUGAUUUUGGUAAUAAGUGAAACAGAGAGUUGGUCAGGCAAACUCGGUGGGACCGAUUGCAUAUCUCGGUGAGACCAAAAUUAGUGCAAUAGGGAACCGAGAGUUUGCAAGCCCAUCUGGGUGAGACCGAGAUCCCAUCGGUGAGACCGAAUUGACUAGGGUUCCUGGCAGUGGCAAUGUCAAGUAGACUCGGUGGCGCCGGAUAGAUCAAAUCGGUGGGCCGAGUUUGACUUUUGGUUUUGGGACAUACGGAUAUAUGAGAAAGUGGUUGAGGGCUUGAGAGCAUAUCACUAAGCACUUUGAGCAAGCAAGCCAUUAAGCAACACCUCAUCCCCUUUUAAUAGUAUUGGCUUUCCUAUAGACUCAAUGUGAUCUUGGAUCACUGAAACAUAUUAUGUAGAGUCCUGAGCUUUGAGCUUGAGCCAAUCCUUUGUCCUUAGCAUCUUGAAGGGGUUCCACAUCCUCUUGUCCAUGCCACUACAUUGUUGGACUUAUCUGAUAUAUACUAGAUAAAAGUAUUAGUCCAACAAAAGAUAUGUUGACAUUAAUUACCAAAAUCACCAAGGGAACACUUGUGCUUUCAGCAGUAGAAGGCCCAAGUCCACCGGCUAAAUCUACAAACACAGUAUCACCUGCUCCACCAGCUGCAGCAUCCGCUUCAACUGUACCAGCAUCUCAACGAGUUACUCAUUCGUUUGCUCCGGAACUGGCCAGUUCCCAAGCUGCCUUCACACCUAACACUACUUCCAAAGCACCGCUGACACAACAGGACUUGGCAAGAUCAGAUGAACCUCAUGAGCAUCAACACCAAGACGGUACCUGACCGAGUCAAGUUGUAGUUGCAUGCUCCUUUAUAUGUACUCUCAUAGUUUGAUGUACACUAACACUUUCCAUAAUUGUUGUUGAACUAGCACCACGGUGCAAGAGGAAACAAACAUCAGGGAUAAUGCUUGACAGAUUAACAAAAUCUAAAGGAGGAAGAAUGGAGAUCCAUUUUGAGGCAGGUUUAAAAAGGCCACAUGAUGCUAUAAAGUCAGCCAAGUUAGUAUCAGAGGCAGCCGUUGCCGUUAGGUGUCAUGCACGUAUCCUCCCAACAUGGAUCUAGUACAGGAAUGAGAAAGACAAUACCCAGUUUAACACCUUCCUUGACCAUUUAUCCAUAAGUAAUGUUAUUCAUCGCAAUUAGUAAUAUUGUCUUGCUCUGUCCCAUACUUUCUAGCUUCCUCCUAAUAAGACUCACAUUCUUUUUUCAACAAAUGAGGUUCAAGUUGGAUCCGAAAGAUGAUGCAACUAAACAAGCAUGCACUCAUGUUUUUCAGUCUGCUCUGCGACAGUAUCGGUACCACCUUAGAAAAUCUCACUUUGAAGGCAAGGCUAACAAUGAAAUCGCCCAAACAUCUCCAGUGGAAUAUAUUACACAUGAAGACUGAACAACCCUUGUUAAACACUGGUCUCAUCCAAAGUAUCAGGUUGGCUAUAUGUAUUUGAUCAGACCACAUAUUGAACUUGUAUUUAUGUAUGUGCCUUACGAGUGUAUCUUCUUCUAGGCUAACUGUUUGAAGAACAAGACCAACCCUUAUAAAGUGAAAUUCCAACAGACAACAGGAUCUCGUAGCCACUGUAAGGCUCUUGUAAAUAGUUGCUACUUCCUUCUUUUUUCUGUGCCAUAUUAUCGUAUCUAUAUUGACUUGUUCCAAAUACAGAGGAAAGCCCGUGCGGACCAAAAAGAAGUUGAACCGAAUGCAGUGCAAAUCUUCAAGGAUUGGCACACCAGCAAGAUGAAGGGCAUGAGCACACCAGUUCAAGCCGUUGUUGUAAGUCCUUACUCCUCCUGCCUUUGAACUGAUUGGUAUUGUGAUGUGUUCAUUUAACUGCUUGGUUUGCAGCCAAUGUCAGUUACUCUGUUCACUUUUAUACACAGUUGUCUUAACGUAUCAUUCACCUUACAUGGUUUAAAAGAGAUGAAGGAUAUUCUUUUGGUCUUGAUCUGUAAUCUAGUUGUGAUGUUCACGUGCGCACACAAUGAUAAAAUAGCCUGUUUGUUUUAUAUCUGUUUGCCAUGAUACGAAUGAUGUCAUACUAUGUUCAUCCUACUUUAAACCAUGUCUCUUUAUCCUUAGAUGUCAACGAAUAUGAGGAAAUAGACAAUACAGUAGGCAUGCUACAUGGACAUAUGUUCCAAAAGUGAUUUUAUUAUGUAGUUGGCACUACAAUACAUGCUAAUGUAUUACAGUAGUUCACCAAAAUAAGUUAUGUAUAAACGUGUAACCUACUUUGUUUGUUUUUAUCUCAUUAGUAACUUAUCUGGUACAGUAAUCUACAAGUUCAAACUUUCAGCAAGCUAUGGAACAAAUGAUUGAACAGCCACAACCACCUGAAGGUGACGAGGCUACCACAUGCACAAUGUCACCUCUUGCUGCAGUGCGUCAGUAUCUCUCCACUAACAGUGCAAAAAGCACCUUCCUGCGUAAUUCUGGGUGGUUGUCAAGGUAACCUCGUCCAAAUCGCCUACUGAACAAAAUCUUCCAGCUAGACAGAGUGAAAUAUUUGUGCUCCAGACACAAGUCCAAUCCCUAAUGGACGUCGUUUCGGAAACAAGAAUAGUGGUUGACAAAUGUUGUCAAGAUAUGAAUGGUUUUGAAACCAGACUAUCAGACAUUCGCUCUGUUGUUCAAGAGCAAUGGCGGAAAAAAGGUGAAGAUCGUGCUGCUCCAUCAGAUUCUACAGCCUGAAACAUUAGCACUCACGUCAAAUGAUCUGUGCUUCUAUACAUCUAAUGGUGCUUUUAUCUGCAAGGACUGCAAACUUUAUGCCAAUAGGCCUUUUGUUGUAUGGUUGGAAAUUAUUUUGUUGUGAUACAACAUUUAUGAUGCUGCCAAAGGUUGUAGUAAUUACGACGCUGUUUUUGUAUAGUGUAGGUUUAUCUUAGUAAUGUAUUCGGCCGAAAGCUUUGUAGGAGCCCAACAUGCCAACAUUCGUCGGGCCCAUUCCAAUUGGGAUAAAAACGAUUACGGGCCGAAAUUUGCAUGUAGCCCACUAAAAAUAUCUAGGCCUAAAUCAGCAUAAACUUUCAUAUUUUUCUGGUAGGCCUAUGCCCAUAGUGGGCCUUUAACAGGCCUAAACAUAAUUUGGGCCCUCAGUAACAAUAGGCCGUUUAUAGGUGUAAAUAUCUCGAGCCCAUAAAAAACAUGGGCCUUUAAUAGGCCGAAAGUGAGAUUGGGCCAUGAUUGUGCCAAAUAACCCACUCGUCUUAACAGGCCGAAAUGGUGGCCCAUUUACAAUGCGGAUCAUUCACAGGCCAAAAUUCGGACGGGCCGUAAAUGCGCCGACCUACUACACGGGCAUUUAAGAGGCCGGAAGAUCGGUCGAGCUUGAUUAGUGUCAUUUUUAUAUGGGCCGUUAAUAGGCCCGCUGUGACGUUGGGCCAUAAAUGGCCCACGGAUUUCGUCUGACGUUAAUAGGCCGAAAAUCACAACAUGCUGAAAGUGGCCAAAUCUAUAGUGGGCCUCUAACAGGCCGAAUGUUAGCCAUGGUCGAAUAUGACCCAAAUCCUUCACGGCCGUUUAUGGGCCGAAAGUUUCAAUGGCUUGUAAAUGGGCCCAAAUGAAGCAGGACCUUUAACAGGCAGGAAAUACACCGGGCCCUAAUUCGGCCCAAAUACUUAGUGGACGGUUAACGGGCCAGAAGUGACCAUGGGCCGCGAUGAUGACAGGUUUAGCUGGGCCGACCCAUUAUGGUCUGCAAAAUCUUGUGGGCCUUAAGCUGGGUCGGCCCAUUAUGGUUUGCAAAAUCUUGUGGGCCUUUAGCUGGGCCGGCCCAUUAUGGUCCGCUAAAUCUUGUGGGCAUUUAGUUGGGCCGACCCAUUUAAACUUUAUGGGCCACUUUUAGGCCCGUCCACAUGUCAACAUAUGAUAGGCGCAUCUCGACCAUUGGAUGAGUGACACCUGUGCCAACGCGGAGCUGACAUGUGGUUCCGUCGGCCAAUGAGAAUUGUACACGUGGAAAAUGGGCAUUGGUCAUGGUUGUUAGCGGGUUAUCGGAUCCAAAACCGGACCCGAUAGCUUAUCGGCAAGCCGUUAUGGUGGAUGCCACAUGUCGGUCACCCUUGAUGAAAGCACUUCCAUGACGCGCCAUUUAUCGUCAUGGAAGUGGACACUUCCGUGAUGAUAAUUUUGGUACUGUCAUGGAACACUUCUACGACAGCACAGGUGUGACUAUCUUGAUUCUGUCAUAAAAUCGUCAUGGAUGUACAUGCAUGACAGAAAAUGUGACCUACUGUGACAAACAUGUACCAUCACGGAAGUGUAUUUUUUUGUAGUGGAAGAAGCGGUAACACCUAAGCGCACCACGACAUAUAGUUAUACGUCGUCAGCUUCACCGGGAUGAGAUGCGCAAAGUAGAAUGGCGUAUGAGACACACCAUAAUUCAAAGGUGGCGGUGGCGCGGCAUAGAAGCCCGGGGGGACGCUCGGUAGCAACUCCGUAGAUGACCCGUAGGGUGCCCCAUAUGAAGGAGAUGCGCCAGUAGGAGGCACUGUCACCAACGCGCACGACACCGACGGCGCGGCAUGGGGCAGCCAUGGGGCAACCUGUGCGAUUUCGGGAUGCGACGGCGGCACGGCAGCAGCGUAGGAAGCAACGUCAUAGUUCGGUGCCGAUGCAGAUACUUUAGAGGAACCAGCGCCAUGGGCCAGCCGGAACUGUUGGGUACCAGGGGCCAGCAACAGCGGCUGGGCGAAGCCAGAUGCAGGUUGCCAACUCAUCCAAAAGUCCGAACUGAUGAAGGAAGGGGUUACGAUGUCUCUGCUCCGGCGCUCAUGGAGUUCUUGAUGCAGCUGUGCAACAGGUGCGAAUCUGUCCGUUUGUGUGCUUGAACGGCCGCGAUUUGGAUUUGAGUUUGGAGCUUCUGCAAGAUCUAACUUUCUCUUACCUUCCAUGUGUUUCUGCAGUAGAACGCUCAUAGAGGAAGUGAAUGACAGUGACGUACCCAUGGAGCCUUUGCAUUAUCCUGUUUUGUCAGCGGCGGCUGGCGAGGUGCCGGCGACGAGUGCUUCCAGUGUGGAGGCGCGGAUCUGUGCAGCGGUGGCUGUAACACCAGGAGGGAGUGCAGAUAGGCCGCAAGUAUCUGAACACUCGAUAGAGCAAACUGAUCCACAGACGCCCGGCUAGACACAAAGGUAUGCUUAACUGGCACACCCCGCUGAUACAAAAUUCUGGCUAAGUUGUUCAAGUACUACUAAGAUUUGGGAGUCCAUUCAGCAAGCAGAUAGUUAAUUUGUCCGUGGAAUCCAUGCGGAAUGCAUUACAGGGAAAUUGAUUAUAGAUUAAUGGGAAUGGGGAUGGGAGAUGUAUUUGACAUUACAAGUCUGUGCGGUAUAAAAUCACUCGCUCAAAACACAUAAUAAUGAAUAAAGGGUGCAUAUAUUGUGUUCUGGGACAUCAUUUGAAAAAUGCAUGCAAAUUCAUUACAGGCAUGUUGUAAUCUGGAAUGCUCUGUUUUUUUAUUUUAGUAACUAAUUGUGCAUGCACAUUUUUUGAUAAAAAUUCAGGGUCAGGGUUGGUGCUGUAGCACCAGGCCGUGCCCCCUAUCCAGGUAGGAUGACAACAUUGGAGAAAUGAGUGUGCAUGUUUGCCGAGUCCCCCAAUGAUAAUGUGAUUAUGCCAAUGUUAGGCAUCAGCUUCGAUACGCUUGAAGAUGCCUAUGAUUUUUACAAUCUGUAUUCAUGGGAGAAAGGAUUCAGCAUUAGAUCCGGUGCUUUCCCAUAGCUACAAUAGUGCACGCAGUAAAUGCAGAAGUUGGGGCGCUAAGAGCAGCUGUCUCCUACCUCACAAAGUUGGAUCUAUCGUUCUUGAAGAUGGCGAACCCAUAGAGGAACCUCCUGCGGGGACUGGGUGCUUCAGCGAGCAUGGAGUUCUUGAUCCAGCCGAUAAAUAGGUACGGAUAUGCUUGCCCUUGCUCCGUUCGCCACCGUUUUUAUUUAGGUUUUUUGGAUGAUUUAAUUUCUCUGUCGGUUAUUCGUGCAAGCAGCAGAAUGCUGCUAGAAGAGCUGAACAACAUCGCCAAGGAGCUAUUCACUACCUUGUGAGGACGCCGCCGGUGGUUGAGCUGCCGCCGGUGUCCUGAAUUGAGCUUGUGUAGAAAGAAUUAAGUAUGUGCAAUAUUAUUUAUGCCAUGACUAGUGAGAAUGAUAGACUUGGCUGAAUUAUGUUGCAAACAUGAUGCGUAAUAGAGAUUUACUGGAGGGUAGGUAUGUCAUAUAGAGCUCUUCCUGGAGCUGGGUGUGUGAUACAUUAAUUUAAUUGAUUUAACUGUGAAAGGUUACUGAAUAUGUUUACAUAUUUGCUUGGGCUUCCAGAGUGCAGGUUGGUGCUGCCACGCUAGGCAGAGCUCCACGCCUUGAUAUGAUUACAGCACUGGAGAAAUCAAUCUGAAGAUUUGCAGAAGAACCAGGUGAUUGUGCCAAAGAUAGGAACACGUUUUGACACAUUUUGGUGAGGCCUAUGAUUUUUACAAUUUAUAUACGUGGGAGAAUGGAUUCGGCAUUAGAUACGGAAAGAACAGGCUAAAUGUAAACCGGAAAAAUGCAUGAAAGAGAUAGUCUGUGGUUGCGCAGUAUGCCAUUGUGUUUGCAAUGUUCUAUAAUUUUUCAGUUCACCAUGUGGAAGUUGUGAUGAAGUUAACUGACUUUGAUUUAUCAAAAUUUUAACAGGGGAAACAAAUAGUUGAAAAUACUCGGUCUUGCCGCUGUUAAUGCCCUACCCUCAUAAGAUUGUUACAGUUAAAGGACAACAGAAGCAUCGAGAUGAGCACCAUUCAUUGUCUCCCACGAACGGACAGAUAAUACACUUGCCAUCACACAAGCAUAUCGAUGUGUACAUCAGAGGUCUCGUGAAGCAGUUGUGGCAAAAACAAUGACAACUUAUCGAGAAUGGGGAUGUCGUGAACCAGGUUCACCCAGAAGGUGCAGAGAUGGGACAGGGAGGCAGAAUGCCUACUGUUAUGAGGAAAUGAGGAACGAUGAUAACACUUUAGCCAAUCAGUUGGGUGAUAUGUUGACAGGCUUAUUGCCUCCAGCUAAGAGGAAGGAGACGGGAAAGCCUAUGGCAAGCAGAUAAAAGCACUGUAUGAGGGACUAACUAAGAUAACAAGAUUUUGCAUGAUUUUUGGUGACAAGCACACAAACAGAUACCCUGUCCUGAUCGUGGGGAUGUACCAAAACAGCCUCGGAAGCCAGGAAGAUGCAAGAAUUGUGGCAUUGAAGGCCAUCAUCGAUACAACUACCACAAAGCGGUUGAGCUCAGGCUGAAGAGCUGAUCUGAUCUUGUUUUGUUUAGAUGCGGCACUUUGCUUGCCAAAAUUUAAGCUGCCUUGUACCUGACUACUAAGCUGUGUUCUUUCUGAAUAAUUAGAACUUGUCUGUAAAACAUCUGCACUGUAAAAUGGUUGUGCUUUGCAUGAAGAUCUUCCUGUGUUGCUGAUAUUAUUUGAUUGUGCUUCCUUACUGAACUGGAGUGAAUUGCAGAAAACAUCGACAUUGAAGGAUAGAUUUGCAGGAAUCACAAUUCUAAAGUUUUGUUCCAAAAACAACUAAUUCUGAGGCUAAUUUUUUGCCAAAAAAAAAAACUAGUCGCCAGCUUAGGACGUUUUGAGCACGAUUAUGACAGGAGGGUCCCGCUGGACAGGGCGACGUGGCAAAAUAUAACAGAUCACAAAUAGAAAAAAUAGCAUGGACUAAACUGUAAAAGGACCGAAGAGGGUAAGGUUCGUGCAGCAAACAAAAAAUAUCUGGCAUCGUCUUCCUGCUGCCCAGCCGCCGAGCUCGCCCCGGCGUGCACAUCCGGUCUGCUCCCGGCGUCCAGCCGCGCCUCCGACGUCCACCGGCGAGUACCCGGACCCGUAGCUGCCUCCAAGUCCUUCGUCGCGGACCCGUCACCGCGCGCCGUCGCUGCCCUGCAGGUUCCCCGAUGGUUGCGUAUCGACCACGGAGUUCAACGCCUCCACGCACAAAACCUCGUCAGCGCCAAGUUCUUUCACAAGGAGCUCGUUUCCUCCUCUCCCUCGCUCCAUGGCGUCGGCGCCGGCCUCCCAAUCCCCGCUCCUUGGCCCGCGUAGGUGUGGUGACUGGUGAGAGAGGGCGCCUCACCGCGGCCGAAGCUCAAGCCGCCGCCGCCGCCCUUGCUGCUCACCUGCAUCGGCACUAGCUAGGUGACGGGGAGGCACACCAGAUGGACGCGAGUAGCUAUGCCCGCCGCACGGGCGCGAGCAGCAGUGGCGUCGGCCACGCUCACCGUCCAUCCCGGCCUCAUGCCACGUUUCCCCCGGCUCUCAAUGGUGGUAGCCCGGAGAGGAAGUGGCCGGCGGCGUCCACCGCCGGACCAAUGGGAGACGUUGGUCACUGAGGACCUGAUUGCUUUUUUUUCAGGGGUCUUUUUGCAAAUCACGAAUGUAUCAGGGUGUAGUUAGCGUUUUUCUUUGCCACAUCGCCAUGUCCAGUGGGACCCCUGUCAUAAUCGUGCUCAAAACCUCCUAAGCCGACGACUAGUGUUUUUUGUAAAAAAAAAUAGCCUCGAAAUUAGUGGUUUUCUGCACAAAACUAUAGAAUUGUGAUUCCUGCAAACCUAGCCUCCAAUGUCGACGUUUUCUGCAAUUCACUCUACUGAACUGCUUGGCACAUAGUGUGUGUUGUUUACGUAUGUUUCCUGCCUGACUGAUUAAGAACUUUAUGUGAAUUAUCUAUCUGCAUGAACCUCAAGACACAUGCCUGGAUUUGAUGCCUGGAGGUGGUGGUUGAUGAGAUGUUCAGAUACAAACCACGGGCCAAGGUUGCUAGAUGCGCUAAUGGGUGAGUGCGUCUCGGUUGUGCCAAUAUUUUGACAGCUGCAGCCAUCCUUCUGCAACCUAAUAUAACAAGCAGUCGUGACAUGUCCACCGAUGAUCCUGCCUGGUACAGGCGAGCCUGACCCUUCCAUGGUUGUGGCUCCACUAGACAAGAUCGUGCCAGCUCCGCUUGAUGACUCCACUGCUUGAUUGGUUCGCCUGAACCGCUGAACGAGCUCUUCGGUGCAAGUAAGCUGCGGGCUUGGGCGAAUCGCUGAACCAGUCUCAGAUCACCAACCAUCUCGGUGCGCCGGUUCGGCGUUCACUCCACCGCAAAAAAUCCAAGUGUAGAUGCAUGCGCCACAGUCGGGCAUGGAAUGAGCAGCAAAAUCUCCUCCAGGCCGGCGGUGGACGAUGAAGCAAACAUGGUGGAGAAGGGAUGGGGCUGGUGGCAGUGGCUCUGAUGGCAUAGAAAGCAACGGCAAAUCUGUGCGGGGUUCGGGUGGAUCCACUGGAUUAUAAAGAUGACUGAGGCUAGUCGUAAUGGGAGUGUCAUAGAUAGUAUUAUGCAUGUCAACUAGGGAAAUUUAAUAACGUGGCAUGAAAUUAAAGAGUGGGUUGACUAUCAUAUCAUGAUACCGUAACAUAUUAAAUGUUGUGCUACAAUGUGUCAUGCAUGACAAUAAAUAAAGUCAUCUAUGAUAUUAGCACAUGAUACUAUGCACUACGGUUGUAGUAUCAUACACUAGUAUCAUAUGCAUGAUACUCACCAUUACGACCAGCCUGAGCAUGUUGGAGAAGAUUGGUAGCUCCAACGUCAGGGGACAUUAAAUGAGAUCGGCGCCGACGUUAGUAGGGGCGCGUUUGGUUGCCUGCAUGCAGCCACACCAAGCCCGCGCGGGAUGUGCGUGGCCUGUUUGGUUGCCUGGGCUGCAUGCGUUUUGUGCCCCGCACGGAACUUAAAGCAGGCCUGAGCCUGUUCUCGCAAGCCUGGCUCGGCACGGCCACGUGUGCGAGGGGGUUGCACGCUUCGUGCAGCGCAGGAGAUGGAGGGGACGUCUCAUAACUCCCCCCCCCCCACUCUCUUGUUACUGCCCCGCCCACACUGUUCCCACCGCUCCCUCUCUGCCUCACCGCCCCUCCCUCUCCUCUCCACCGAUGGUUACGCCUUGCCCACCGCCGCGUCGUCCUUUGAUCCCCGUCGACCAGCGCAUCGCCAGCAUCCAGGAGUGCUGGGUGGCCGGGCUGCAGAACUCGGGCAGGGACCUGGCAUCGACGCUGCGAGCGUCGUCCCCCAUCUGCUGCCGGCCACCAUGAGCGUCGGCCAAUGCUUUGCCAGUCGUGCCUGCUCUGCCGCCGAUUCUGGACCUCAUGGUCCUGGGCUCGAUGUCGGUGCCACCCACGGAGCUGCCGCUUCUUAGGUCCCCAUUGGGCAGGGGGGUUUUCUUGACCCCCGUCCAAGGGUUUUCUCUUGUCGGCGCGCCGUCCUCCUCGACCUCCGACGUGGCCAUGAGCACGGGACCGAUGCCGCAGGCCCUCGCCAGGGCCGGCUACUCCUUUGCUCCGCCACCUCUCUCCUUCCCGCCGGGGUUUUCACCCCGAUCUCGGUUCGCUACGACUGCGUGUGCUCCGGUGAGUCAAACCCCCCAAUGCUUGCUCGUAGAUGUAGACUGGGGGUUUAUUUCUCAGGCAUGUGCUAGUACUUAGUGGAUUCGAUAGGACUAGAUUGGAUUGGGGUCCGAUUGGAUGUAAUCCGAAUCGAAUCCAAUCGGACCGAUCUGUUCUUGUUUGCUACAGUGUGUGUCCUAGGAUAAUGUUCUUCUGCUCUGGUGCUUUCCUAGGAUAUGUAUUCAUGGUAGGAGGUGUGUUAAUGCUAGAAUCCCCUAUGCUAGUGUGCUUUGCUAGGAUCUGUGUUCAUGCUAGGGUCUUGCUAGGAUAUGUGUUCAUGCAAAUGGCAUGUUCAUGUUCAAGUUAGGAUCAUGUUCAUGUUGUUGUUCAUGUUGCUACAUACAUGUUCAAGCUAGGGUUUGUGUUGCAUGCUCUACAUUGUUAUACGUGCAUGUAGUAGGACCAUUUUAGGAUGCUGCCAAAUGUGCAUGGGUGCACAUGGGUGCUAUUUUUAGAUGUUUCCAUGCUUAGGAUAGUGCACUGAUGAGUGGUAGUUGUAGAAUACCAUAUGCCACUGAUCAGUGGCAUUUGCUCAUGGGCAACUACCACUAAUGAGUGCCACUUGCUGUUGGGCAAGUCCCCUUAUCAGUUGCUCUUGCUCUUGAGUUGAGCAAGUGCCAUUGAUCAGUGGCACUUGCCCAAGAGCAAAUGGCACUGAUCAGUGGCAUUUGCCCAAGAGCAAGUGCCAUUGAUAAGUGGAAUUUGGCAAAGAGUUUGUGCACUGAUCAGUGGCAUUUGUUGUAAUGCUAGUGCAACUGAUCAAUGGCAUUUGCAGAAGAGCUAAUGGCACUGAUCAGUGGUUGUUCAUUUUGCAACCACCUCUAAUACUUGUCAUCCUACCUGACAAGAUAUUCAAGAGUGACUGGGACAUGGCGGGUAAAGGAGCUCAGGUGGUGGCCGGAGCUGAGGGCGCCGAGGAUUUCAUCCCCACGAACAGGUGGCUCGGGAAGGUGGACCUGCCUAAAAGGAUCGCCUUCAUGAGCCUGCCUCGUUCAACGGGACGAUCUCCGAGGCAGGGCCACGAGGAGGGGGCCCGGGAGCCGUUGCGCUUCUACCAGCAGAUCAAGGACAAUGAGGACCUCGCCAUGCUUGUCGUCCCUCGCAAGUUCAUGGAGGUGAUGAACACCUGGCUGGUCAUCAAGCAGCUCACGUGCGUGAUCAGGCUGUCGGCGAACAAGCGAUGUGUGUUCUGGGUGAAGUUCCAGAACUACGAGGGGCGCAUGGUGCUUCACCGGUGCUGGAACUACUUCUGCCACUGCCGCCUGAUCGUCCCCGGCGACCUCGUCGUUGUGCGCAUCUCAGGACUCAGAUUGAAGGUUCAGAUCUGCAACCACGACUCAUCGGUCAUGUGCAGGUUUUGUUGCAGCAGGCACAACUGCAUUGGUGACAUUGAGCAUGCUAUGUAGUUAAGUAAGGUGUUAGUGUUGAACUUUUAUGGUGUGUGGCUAGAUUAUGGUACUUGUGCUGGGAACUUGUUAAUAUUUUGUCCAGGAGCAGCACCCUGGCGUGGAGCAGGGAAGGAGGAUGCCCUGUUGUUAAUCUAAGUAGUUUGCUGUCAUUUUCUUGCUUGCUUUGUUUGAUUUCAUUUGGUUGCUUGCUUUGUUUGAUCUCAUAUGUGCUUGCUGUUGUGCUGAUCAUGUAGUGGUAAGGCCACCACAUGAAUGGGGUGAGCAAAACACAAAUGUUGUUUGCAACCAGACAGCUGAAGUUUGCACCUACUCACACCAUAAGCACAAAAACGGCAACCAAACAACAGGGGGUACGUGCCCCUCCAUGGGCGCAGUAGGGGAGUUGGCCGCCGUGGUGUUGGAGUCAUCAUUUCCUGAUGUCGUGUAACGCCUUGGAGUUAGUAUGUUGGAAUGUUAGAGGUCUUAACAAUCUAGCCAAGAGGAAGGCACUUAGAGGGUUUGUGGAAUCUGUCCGUGCGGCGACCGUUUGUAUUUUAGAAACUAAGUUAGAAGUGGUGGACAAGUAUGUAAUCUUGCAAUGCAUGGGACCAAAUUAGGAUGGUUUCACUUACUUACCGGCGUCGAGGACUAGAGGAGGUAUUUUCGUGGCUUGGGACACCAUGAGGGUUUGGUUGACAAACUAUGUCAACGAUUCUCAUUGCAUUACAGGGUAUGUAUCACCUAUUGAGGGGACGCCAUGGUGGUUAACAAUAGUUUAUGGGCCGCAACAGGAUGAUCAAAAGAUUAGCUUCCUGAAUGAGCUAUUGGAGAGGAGAUCUCUUAGUCCCGGGCCAUGGCUUGUCAUCGAUGACUUCAACCUUAUUCUUUACGGGGCAGACAAGAAUAACUCCAACUUGGAUUGGAGAAUGAUGGGGAAGUUUAAAUGUUUUGUCGACAAUAACGCGCUCAAGGAGCUUUUCUUGCAUGAGCGCAAAUUCACUUGGAGCAAUGAAAGGGAGACGCCUACCCUCAUGAAGAUAGAUCGUGCGUUCGUCUCCGUCGAUUGGGAGCUCGAUCACCCGGAGUGCCUACUUCAAGCUUUAUCCACUGAGUACUCGGAUCAUUGUCCUUUACACCUCACACUCCAAGAGUCCGUGCACAUUAGGAGGAGGUUCCGCUUCGAGAAGUUUUGGGUCAAAAUGGAUGGUUUUCUUGAUGUCGUCAAAGAGGCUUGGACCUGUGAUCCGGAUAUCACCGAUCCUUUCAUGCGGCUUGAUAUCUUGCUUCAUAACACGACUAGAGCUCUUGCCACAUAGGGUCAAAAGGAUAUAGGAAAUAUCAAGCUGCAAAUAGCCAUCGCAAACAUUGUCAUCAUGCGGUUCGACUGCGCCCAGGAAAAUUGUAUGCUUACGGAGGAGGAGAGUGGCUUAGAAGAACCCUUAAGCAGCUUGUGCUAGGGUUGGCUUCCUUAGAAAGGACCAUUGCUAGGCAAAGGUCGAGGAUAACAUGGCUACAAGAAGGGCAUGCAAACACGUAGUUGUUUCACUUGGUGGCGAAUGGGGGACGUAUGAAGAAUUACAUCCCUUCUUUGCAUAUGGAUGGUCGUAUUAUCACCGAUCAGAAAGAAAAGGAGGAAGCCUUUUACAAAGCUUAUAAUGACCUGUCGGGCAAGGAUGUGGCACGAGAAUUCACUCUGGACUUGGAGGGAUUGGGAGUCAGUCACAUUGACCUCUCUGAGCAGGACAGAGUGUUUUGUGAGGACGAGAUUUGGGCAGUUAUUAAGGGCAUGCCCUCGGAUAAGGCACCUGGGUCGGAUGGGUUCAUAGGCUUGUUUUUUCAGAAAGCUUGGGAGGUGAUCAAGGUGGAUCUCAUUGCCGCGAUUCACAAGCUUUUUGUUGGAAAUGGAAGGGGUUUUGGGAGGCGAAACCAAGCUUUGAUCACUCUUCUGCCGAAGUCUCCGGAAGCUUGCACUGUAUUCGACUUCAGACCCAUAUGCCUAGUGCAUAGUGUCGGUGUCAAAACCGGCGGAUCUCGAGUAGGGGGUCCCGAUCUGUGCGUCUUAGGCUGAUGGUAACAGGAGGCAAGGGACACAAUGUUUACCCAGGUUCGGGCCCUCUCGAUGGAGGUAAAACCCUACUUCCUGCUUGAUUGAUAUUGAUGAUAUGAGUAGUACAAGAGUAGAUCUACCACGAGAUCGUAGAGGCUAAACCCUAGAAGCUAGCCUAUGAUGAUUAUGAUUGUGAUCGUCCUUCUAAGGACCAACCUCUCCAGUUUAUAUAGACACCGGAGAGGGUUAGGGUUUACAUGGAGUCGGUUACAAAGAAGGAAACAUAAUAUCCGGAUCGCCAAGCUUGUCUUCCACGCAAAGGAGAGUCCCAUCCGGACACGGGACGGAGUCUUGAGUCUUGUAUCUCCACGCUCCAAUAGUCCAGACGAAGUAUAGAGUCCGGCUGUCCGGAUACCCCCUAAUCUAGGACUCCCUCAGUAGCCCCUGAACCAGGCUUCAAUGACGAUGAGUCCGGCGCGCGGUCUUGUCUUCGGCAUUGCAAGGCGGGUUCCAUCUCCGAAUACUCCAAAGUACCUGUUACGACGAACUGUGUUCGGCUUCCCAUUAAUGUUAUACUCCUCGGCUUCUGUGCCUCAAUAAUGACCCUUUCCACGUGUUGAGUGAAUGCGAGGGGUCAAGGCAUUUUUGCAUUUGCCACCCCUUGGUCCGGCAGGUUGACCGUCUAUUUGAGGAGACGGGGAUUCUCAGAUCCAAACCUCAUCCUCUUCCCUCGAGCAAGCAUCCAACAGAGCGCUCCGGAAAAACCAUUCCAACAUGGCCGGUCGUCUCAGCUCUUCUUCUCGCUCUCCUCGCUCCAGGCCGGGUGACUGAGAAGAUUGUUCAGUUCCUCACGGUCAUUUGAUAGAGUUACAGACCCAAGGGUUUCUCCCACCGGCGUUCAUGGUCUCCGUCCGAGCCGGAAUAACCACUUAUAAUGGCGGCGAGCAAGCGGAGGGAUCUCCUAAUCCUUCCCCAGAGGAGCGAAUAUGCCUCAUCCCGCAUCUGCUAAGGGGCGUCGAGUUUCCUAUCCACCCAUUUCUUCGCGGGCUUCUGGAGUUCUACGGCCUUCAGUUGCACAACCUCACCCCUGCCUCUGUGCUGCAUAUAGCAGGAUACGUCGCCCUUUGUGAGCUAUUCCUAGGCUGCGAGGCUCACUUUGGGUUAUGGAAGAAGUUGUUCUGCCUUGUCCCUCGCAACCAGGGAGAAUCCCUAUGUCAAGUGGGCGGAGUCGAAGUAUGGCGCAUCGCCGAGACCGGAUACCUAUCCGGCACUUCCAAGAAGGCACCGGAGAACUGGCCCUCGGAGUGGUUUUAUGUUGACGAUGUUCCCCUUCCGGAUCCAGUCCGGACAGGUCUCCCUAAGUUCAACAAUGCUCUGCUGAAGACGCGUCGAAGCUGGCGCCCUCGGGGCCCCCAAGAGGAGGAUACCAGAGAAAUACAUUUUCUAAUGAGCCGGAUAAAGUUACUGGCCAAAUCCGGGCUGACGAUAGUCGAGGUCAUGGCAAUAUGCGUAAUGCAGGGAGUGCAGCCGCUCCAAUAUUGGGGGAAGCCCAUGUGGCACUACAACGGGGAAGAUGAUGCCACCCGUUGUGGUUGUAAAGGUCCGGACUCUGCCAAGGCUCUGGCGAGGGUAUUGUCCGAUUUAUAUAAAGGGGAAGAAGAAGAAUUCCUUCACAUUAAACCGCGGGAUGGGUUUUCUAUGUACAACCCCCCAAGCUGGGUAAGUCGUCAUUCUUUCCCCUGCUUUACCUAUUGUGGCAUUCUUUGCCAAGAUUAUUUACCCCGAUAUUUUUGAGCAGGAACUGAGGAGGUCCGUAGAAGGAAUCUCCAGCCCCUCCCCGCAGCCAGAGGACCCCGGGAGGGCCCUCGAUCCAGGGCUCGAAGAAGAUCCGGACAUUACUGUGGAGCUUGUCAACGGGACAUUUUAUCAGGCGAGCUGCGAUGGCGCCUCAGUGGCUAUUACAGGCGACUAUCCCGGACUGCUACCCGCGUCACGUGUAAGCCAACCCAAAAACCUUAUCCUCCGAAGAGGAUUCCUUUCUAAUGUCAUGCCUUGCACCUGAAGUGUCGUGUUUUUGUAGAGACGACGAUCGGAACGCGGGGCCGAGCCCCUAGGAGCUCGUCGGCAACGGGUGUCCGAAUCGGGCAGGCUAUAGAGGAAGGCAGUUAGGGCUGAAACGCCGCUACAGAGGUAAGGUAAAAACCUUUUCUGUGAUUAGUGUAUUUGAAAUGCGACAGCGCCCUUCGUGUCCUGGCAGGAAGAGGAGUAGCCGGACUAUAUCCGGGGAUCCUGCCAAUCACGCCUCUACCAGCCGGAUUCCAGAGCCGGCUUCGUUAGAGGAGGCGGACGUGGGGCCGAUGCCGCAUUUUCCUCCGACAGAGGACGCAGAGUAUGCUCUCCACCACGAAUUCUGAAGUAGAGAGCACAAUGAAUCACCGGCGCCGACGAGCCGUACUUCGCCACAACAUCUUUUCCGAAGAGGCAUUUAAUGCUUUCAAUUCGGGAGGCACGUACAUCCGAGCUGCUCAAGGUGGGCUCGCCCGAGCAACGGACCAGUAUACCAAAGAUAUACGGGUAAGAAAAUUUGAUAAACAUGUAUAGCAGUAGCCCCUGAGACUUGAAAUGGUUGGAACAACUGUUUUAAGGAUCAAUUUAUGCACAGGUCGUUGCUACCUCUUGAGCACUGCGUUGGAUUUCCCCGAAGAGGAGAGGAUGAUGCAGCAAAGUAGCGUAAGUACUUCCCUCAGUUUUUGAGAACCAAGGUAUCAAUACAGUAGGAGACCACGCACAAGUCCCUCGUACCUACACAAAACGAUAGCUACUCGCAACCAACGUGAUUAGGGGUUGUCAAUCCCUUCACGGUCACUUACAAGAGUGAGAUCUGAUAGAUAUGAUAAAUAACAUUUUUGGUAUUUUUGAUAGAUAGAUGCAAGGUAAAAAGUAAAAGGCAAAGUAAAAACAAAGCAAGUAAUAAAGCGAUAGAGAUUGAUAUGAUGAGAAUAGACCCUGGGGCCAUAGGUUUCACUAGUGGCUUCUCUCAAGAGCAUAGAUAUUCUACGGUGGGUGAACAAAUUAUUGUUGAGCAAUUGACAGAAUUGAGCAUAGUUAUGAGCAUAUCUAGGUAAUGAUCAUGUAUAUAGGCAUCACUCAUCGACCGCUAUCCAGCAUGCAUCUACUACUAUUACUCCACUCAUCGACCGCUAUCCAGCAUGCAUCUAGAGUAUUAAGUUAAAAAAAGAGUAAUGCCUUAAGCAAGAUGACAUGAUGUAGAGGGAUAAAUCCAUGCAAUAUGAUAAAAAACAUCUUGUUAUCCUCGAUGGCAACAAUACAAUAUGUGCCUUGUUGCCCCUGUUGUCACUUGGAAAGGACACCGCAAGAUUGAACCCAAAGCUAAGCACUUCUCCCAUUGCAAGAACUACCAAUCUAGUUGGCCAAACCAAAAAGGAUAAUUCGAAGAGACUUGCAAAGAUAACUCAAUUAUACAUAAAAUAAUUCAGAGAAGAUUCAAAUAUUUUCCAUAGAUAAUACUCGAUCAUAAACCCACAAUUAAUCAGUCUCAACAAACACACCGCAAAAAGAAGAAGAUUACAUCAAAUAGAUCUCCACGAGAGAGGGGGGGAACAUUGUAUUGAGAUCCAAAAAGAGAGAAGAAGCCAUAUAGCUACUAGCUAUGGACCCGAAGGUCUGAAGUAAACUACUCACACUUCAUUGGAGGGGCUAUGGUGUUUAUGUAGAAGCCCUCCGUGGUGGAUGCCCCCUCCGGUGGAGCUCCGGAACAGGCCCCAAGAUGGGAUCUCGUGGAUACAGAAGGUUGCGGCGGUGGAAUUAGGUUUUUGGCUCCUAUUUUGAUCGUUUGGGGAUACGUAGGUAUAUAUAGGAGGAAGGAGUACGUCAGUGGAGCAACAGGGGGCCCACGAGGUAGGGGAGCGCGCCCCCACCCUCGUGACCGCCUCUUUUGUUCCUUGGAGCAGGGUCCAAGUCUCCUGGAUCACAUUUGGUGAGAAAAUCACGUUCCCGAAGGUUUCAUUCCGUUUGGACUCAAUUUGAUCCGUUUCUUCGAAACACUGAAAUAGGCAAAAAAACAGCAAUUCUGGGCUGGGCCUCCGGUUAAUAGGUUAGUCCCAAAAAUAAUAUAAAAGUGUAAAAUAAAGCCCAAUAUAGUCCAAAACAGUAGAUAAAGUAGCAUGGAGCAAUAAAAAAUUAUAGAUACGUUGGAGACGUAUCAAGCAUCCCCAAGCUUAAUUCCUGCUCGUCCUCGAGUAGGUAAAUGAUAAAAAAGAAUUUUUGAUGCGGAGUGAUACUUUGGCAUAAUUUCAAUGUGAAUCUUCUUAAUUGUGAUAUGAAUAUUCACAUCUGAAAGAUUCAAGACAAAAGUUCAUAUUGACAUAAAAAUAAUAAUACUUCAAGCAUACUAAUCAAAGCAAUCAUGUCUUCUCAAAAUAACAUGGCAAAAGAAAGUUCAUUCCUAUAAAAUCAUAUAGUUAGGCUAUGCUUCAUUUUCGUCACACAAAGAUGUUCCCAACUUCUAUACCCCCGAUGACAAGCCAAGCAAUUGUUUCAUACUUAAAUAAUCUCAAACUUUUUCAACCUUCACGCAAUACAUGAGCGUGAGCCAUGGAUAUAGCACUAUGGGUGGAAUAGAAUAUGAUGAUGGGGAUUGUGUGGAGAAGACAAAAAAGGAGAAAGUCUCACAUUGACGAGGCUAAUCAACGGGCUAUGGAGAUGCCCAUCAAUUGAUGUCAACAUGAGGAGUAGGGAUUGCCAUGCAACGGAUGCACUAGAGCUAUGAAUGCUCAACAAAAGAAAACUAGUGGGUGUGCAUCCAACUCGCUUGCUCAUGAAGACCUAGGGCAUUUGAGGAAGCCCAUCGUAGGAAUAUACAAGCCAAGUUCUAUAAUGAAAAAUUCCCACUAGUAUAAAAAGGACAACUUUAUGAGACUCACUACAUGAAGAACAAGGUGCUACUUUGAAGCACAAUAUAUGAGACUCACUACAUGAAGGACAAGGUGCUACUUUGAAGCACAAUAUAUGAGACUCACUACAUGAAGGACAAGGUGCUACUUUGAAGCACAAGUGUGGAAAAAGAGAUAGUAGCAUUGCCCCUUUUUCUUUUCUUUUCUUUUCUUUUGGGCCUUUCUUUUUUUUUGGCCUUUCUUUUUUUCUUUUUUCUUUUUUUUCUUUUUGGGCAAUGCUCUAACAAUGAUGAUCAUCACACUUCUAUUGAUUACAACAUAAGGAUUACAACUCGAAACUUAGAACAAGAUAUGACUCUAUAUGAAUGCCUCAGGCAGUGUACCGGGAUGGUGCAAUGAAUCAAGAGUGACAUGUAUGAAAAAUAAUGCAUGGUGGCUUUUCCACAAAUACGAUGUCAACUACAUGAUCAUGCAAUGGCAAUAUGACAAAAGUAAUGUAUGUCAUGAUGAUGAUGAUGAUGGAAGUUGCAUGGCAAUAUAUCUCGGAAUGGCUAUGGAAAUGCCAUGAUAGGUAGGUAUGGUGGCUGUUUUGAGGAAGAUAUAAGGAGGUUUAUGUGUGAUAGAGCGUAUCAUAUCACGGGGUUUGGAUGCACCGGCGAAGUUUGCACCAACUCUCAAGGUGAGAAAGGGCAAUGCACGGUACCGAAGAGGCUAGCAAAGGCAGAAAGGUGAGAGUGCGUAUAAUCCAUGGACUCAACAUUAGUCAAAAGAACUCAUAUACUUAUUGCAAAAAUUUAGAAGUCAUCAAAAAUCAAGUACUACGUGCAUGCUCCUAGGGGGAUAGAUUGGUAGGAAAAGACCAUCGCUCGUCCCCGACCGCCACUCAUAAGGAUGCACAAGCCAGGUACACUUCAUGUUUCAAAUUUGUUACACAACUUUAACCAUACGUGCAUGCUACGGGACUUGCAGACUUCAACACAAGCAUUUCUCAAAUUCAUAAUUACUCAACUAGCACGACUUUGAUAUUAUCACCUCCAUAUCUCAAAACAAUUAUCAAGCACCAAACUUAUCUUAGUAUUCAAUUCACUCAAAAGAAAGUUUCACAUAUCUUGAAUACCAAGUAUAUUAACAUUAAGCAAAUUACCAUGCUAUUAACAACUCUCAAAAUAAUCUAAGUGAAGCAUGAGAGAUCGAUAGUUUCUUUAAAACAAAUCCACCACCAUGCUCUAAAAGAUAUAAGUGAAGUACUAUAGCAAAAAUUAUCACGCUCAAAAGAUAUAAGUGAAGCACUAUGAGCAAAACUAUCAAGCUCAAAAGAUAUAAGUGAAGCACAUAGACUAUUCAAACAAAUUCCAAUUCAUGUAUGGAUCUCUCAAAAGGUGUGUACAUCAAGGAUGAUUGUGGUAAACUAACAAGCAAAGACGCAAAUGAUACAAGAUGCUCCAAGCAAAACACAUAUCAUGUGGUGAAUAAAAAUAUAGCUCCAAGUAAAUUACCGAUGGAAGUGGACGAAAGAGGGGAUGCCUUCCGGAGCAUCCCCAAGCUUUGGCUUUUUUGUGUCCUUGGAUUAUCUUGGGGGUGCCAUGGGCAUCCCCAAGCUUAGGCUCUUGCCACUCCUUGUUCCAUAAUCCAUCAAAAGAAUUCACCCAAAACUUUAAAACUUCACAACACAAAACUCAACAGAAAUCUCGUGAGCUCCGUUAGAGAAAGAAAACAAAGAACUACUUAAGGUACUAUAAUGAACUCAUUAUUUAUUUAUAUUGGUAGUAAACCUACUGUACUCCAACUUCUCUAUGGAUUAUACAGGGAUUUGUCUUUCUUUGGUACCAUUACCAGAUUUGCGAGCCAAUCCGGAUGCUUGAUAUCUCUGAUGAAUCUAGCCUCGAGCAGUUUGGCUAGCUCUUCCCCCAUGGCUUGCCAUUUGGGCUCUGAAAAGCGCCUUAGAGUCUGCUUGACAGGCUUGUAUCCUUUUAGUAUAUUAAGGUUGUGUUCGUCCAGUCUGCGUGGGAUGCCCGACAUGUCCGAAGGGUGCCAGGCGAAAAUGUCCCAAUUCUCUCGCAGGAAGUCUCGCAGUGCGGCGCCCAUUGUGGGGUUUAACUGUGUCCCGAUGGAAGCUGUCUUCGUGGGGUCCGUUGGAUGGACCUGGAAUUUGACUAUUUCGUCUGCGGGUUUGAAUGAGGUGGACUUGGGUCGCUUGUCGAGUAUCACGUCGUCCCUGUCCACGGUGGCACGUAGCGUUGUUAGUUCUUCGGCUGCUAGGGCUUCUGAUAAAGCUUCCAGGGCUAGUGCUGCGGUUUUGUUUUCGGCGCGAAGUGCGACGUCCGGAUCACUGGCUAGAGUGAUGAUUCCGUUGGGUCCGGGCAUUUUAAGCUUCAUGUACCCGUAAUGGGGUAUGGCUUAAAAGCUUGUAAACGUGUCCCGCCCUAGAAGGGCGUGGUAUCCGCUGCUAGAAGGAUCCACUUGGAAUGUGAUUUCUUCAGACCUGUAGUUCUCCGGAGUGCCGAAUACCACAUCGAGUGUGAUUUUUCACGCACACCGUGCUUCCCGACUAGGGAUGAUUCCCCUGAAGGUUGUGCCGCUUUGCUCAAUGCGGCUCUUAUCGAUUUCCAUCUUGCCGAGUGUUUCUACAUAGAUCAAGUUUAAUCCGCUUCCGCCAUCCAUGAGUACUUUAGUGAGCCGAAGGCCGUCUACGAUUGGGCUAAGGACCAAAGCGGCUGGUGCCCGGACGAUCUAGAAUUGAGGUUCAUCACUAGCAUUGAAAGUUAUAGCAGUGUCGUCCCACGGAUUUAUUUUUGCCACAUGGCAGAUUUCAGCGGAGCUUCGAUGAGCUCGCCUGCGCUUGUUGUUUGAGGCAAAAGUCUCGAAGACUAUUAGUACUGUAAGUUUUUCUUUGGCGGGACGUUAUUCUGCUUUAUGGCUUACAAGAAGACCCUCGCCACUUUUUGCUACCUGCCGGAGUAUCCAACAUGCUCUAAGGCUAUGUGUUGGUGUAGUGUCCGGCGUGCUGUGGAGUUUACAUGGCCCGUUGAGCCAUUCCUCCAAUACGGUUCCACGCCCUGGGGUGGGCUUUGGUUUCUUGGGAGUUGAGUCGGCCGUCUUUCAAGAGUUCGUCCGUUUAGCUCGGACAAAGGUUUUAGUGAGAGCCGAAUUAUCCCAAAAUUUUGUUUGGGUUUUCCAGGCGCUUUCCAUCGCACAGUACUUUUGUACUAUGAUUGCCAAGUCCGCGAAGUGUGUUAUGUCACGGCGACUUAUAGCAUUAAGGAUUCCUUUGUUCGUGCAAUUUUUGCAAAAAAUUGAGACUGCGUCCUCCUCACGACAGUCCUUGACCUUGUUUAGUACAAGGAGGAAUCUGGCCCAGUAGCGAUGUACUGUCUCUUGGGGAUCUUGUCUGAUAUGGGAGAGAGGUUUUAAGUAGGGGUGGGUGGGUGUAGCUGAAUCUGGAUUCUAAUCCGAUCUAACGCCCUGGGGCAGGGAAGUUUCCGGGCUUGACAGCUCGGGAUCCGGAAUGCUGCCCAAUUUCUUCGGCCCAAUAACCGAUUCUAAGUCCGGGGUCUGGGCCAUGUCUUCCCUUGAGCGGGUGUCCGGCUCAGGGAGCUCGGUGAUCCGGACAUAACUCGUCCUCAAGAUAGAGGGGUAAUGCGUAUGUGGCUCCUCCACUACCGCUAUAUCGUGGGUGACCGGCGGGGAUUUAAUGUCCCUUUGGUCAGGUUUAAGCCCAAUCCGGUCAUAGUCUGUGGUGACUCCCAGAGCAGCGAUGCGAUCCAAGAGCCCGUUAAGGGAGGAGAGCUCGAUUGGAUUCAUCUGUUCGGCGAGUUCCGAAUUGACAUGGAGGCUAUGUGUGAUGACCCGAGAGGUCGUCGUCGUCGGCAUGACAGCCGAUGAGGCGGCCAUAAUGAAGCCUCCAAGUCGGAGAGUUUGGCCUACAGCUAGCGCUCCCCCGAGGUGAUGUUGUCCUUGACAACGAUACGGGCCAUCGAGCCUUGCAGCAACGACACAGAGGAACUCUCAAUGAAAGCACCAAUGUCGGUGUCAAAACCGGCGGAUCUCGGGUAGGGGGUCCCGAUCUGUGCGUCUUAGGUUGAUGGUAACAGGAGGCAAGGGACACAAUGUUUACCCAGGUUCGGGCCCUCUCGAUGGAGGUAAAACCCUACUUCCUGCUUGAUUGGUAUUGAUGAUAUGAGUAGUACAAGAGUAGAUCUACCACGAGAUCGUAGAGGCUAAACCCUAGAAGCUAGCCUAUGAUGAUUAUUAUUGUGAUCGUCCUUCUAAGGACAAACCUCUGUGGUUUAUAUAGACACCGGAGAGGGCUAGGGUUUACAUGGAGUCGGUUACAAAGAAGGAAACAUAAUAUCCGGAUCGCCAAGCUUGUCUUCCACGCAAAGGAGAGUCCCAUCCGGACACAGGAUGGAGUCUUGAGUCUUGUAUCUUCACGCUCCAAUAGUCCGGACGAAGUAUAGAGUCCGGCUGUCCGGAUACCCCCUAAGCCAGGACUCCCUCACAUAGCAUGCCCAAGAUUGCUUCCAAACUUCUGACUGCAAGGCUGAGACCGCGCAUGGGAGAGCUAGUCCAGGCGAACUAGUCCGCUUUCAUCAAGGGGCGAUGCUUGCACGAUAACUUUCUGUUAGUGAGGCAAAUGGCGCGCUCGAUGCACCGAAGGAAAGUGAAAGGUGUACUGCUCAAGCUUGACAUUACAAAAGCUUUUGACUCCUUGGCUUGGCCGUUUUUGUUUGAAGUGCUAAGAGCCAAAGGUUUCUCAGAACGUUGGAUAUCUUGGAUCGCAAUUCUUCUUACCACGACCAGCUCAAGAGUGUUGGUAAAUGGAUGCGCUGGCGAGAAGUUCAUGCACGCUAAAGGAUUGAGGCAAGGGGACUCGAUUUCCCCUUUGCUUUUUGUUAUUGCCAUGGAUGUCCUUACGGAAAUUAUCAUCAAGGCGCAUGAGGCUCGAGUGAUGAGCACGAUCAAUGGAUGUAGCCCAAUGCAGCGCUUGUCUUUGUACGCCGAUGAUGUAGUACUAUUCAUCAAACCAACAUGGCCAGAUCUCCUGUUCGUUAAUGAAACUCUCACAAUCUUCAGAGCGGCAUUGGGGCUUAAAGUAAACUUUACCAAAUCAGCGACAAUUAUGAUCCGAGCUGAGACAGAGGAUGAAGAGCUCGUCAAGUCGGUGCUACCAUGGAAGAUCACCACCUUUCCAUGCAAAUACCCAGGCCACCAGUUAAGCAUCAAACAACUCAAGAGAUCCGAGUGGCAGCCGAUUGUGGAUGCGGCCCUACACAUAUUGCCAAGAUGGCAAAGGGGCUUGGUGACUAGACCUGGGAGGCUUAUCCUCCUCAACCAAGUCAUGAGGGCGCGGGCCACACAUCAUCUUAUGGUAGCGGAGGCGCCAAAAUGGGCUCUGGAAAGAGAGGACACAGGUUGCCGGGCUUUUUUCAGGGCCGUGACGGAGGAAGUGAAUGGCGGCAAGUGUGUGGUAUCCUGGGCAAGGGUAUGCAGGCCAAAACACUUGGGCGGCUUGGGUGUAAUUGACUUAUCUAAGCACGACAUUGCUCUAAGAUUACGAUGGGAGUGGCUUAGACGCAUUGAUGCUUCCAGGCCUUGGCAAGGGCUCAACUUGAUCGUGGACAAAAAGGUUGCCCAAGCUUUUGGGAGCCUGGUUAAAUGGAAGGUUGGAGCGGGAGACAAAAUUUUGUUUUGGAAAGAUCAGUGGCUCCAUGGUGCAACCAUCACAGAUCUAGCCCCCUUGGUUGUGGCGACAGUCCGUAUGAAGGUGGCCAAUAGGAGACUGGUAUGUGAUGCAAUGUGCAUGCAUGCUUGGAUGAACGACGUCGUGGGUGACCUAUGCACGGAGGGUCUAACCAAGUUCAUCGAACUUUGGGAGGUCAUAUCGGAGGUUAAAUUGGAUGCUCAAACUGAGGAUAACCCCAUUUGGGCUUGGAAUGUGACAGGAGUCUACACCGCAUCAUCCGCAUACAAGAUGCUUUGUGAGGGAGGAGUGAGAUUUCACUCUUUCGGAGCAAUCUGGAAAUGUUGGGCGCCACUUGCGCGUAAAAUCUUCAUGUGGUUGGCUGUGCAAUAUCAAUUGUGGACGUCGGAUAGAAGGGAUAGACACGGUUGGCAAGACCAAACGCCCAAAUGCAACUUCUGUGACCAAGAGGAAGACACGGUUGACCACAUCUUGCAGCAAUGUGUGUUCUCGAGGCAAGUGUAGUACAAUUGCAUGACCAGAAUGGGGUUGAGGGUGGAGCUUUGCCCAACAUAUGAAUCUCGAUUGGUGCAAUGGUGGACGGAAGCUAGAAAACGCAUACAUAAGCAAAUUCGGAAAGGAUUUGACACAUUCAUGAUGCUCAUCUGCUGGACACUUUGGAAAUAGAGGAACGCGAGAGUGUUCGGAUCGAGCCAAAUCAAGAAUGAAUGGGAGACUGUGGACUUGAUCUUCGAUGAUUUGAGGACUUGGGCUACGGCAGGAGCAUUUUGAGGACGACCUAUAUCUGAGUAGUGGAGUAGCAUAAGGAGUGGGGUGGAGGCUUGGUUGCGGUCGGCUUGUGACUACCAACUAGCGCAAUUGUAAAACUCUUGUACAUAUUUUCUCCCUUCUUAAAGCUAAGGUACGCCUUUGGCGUACCCUCGAAAAAAAGUGCCCCUCCAUGAUGCAGGCAACCAAACAGGUUGCAUCUGCUACAUAUGAGGCUGCAUUUGAAGAACCAGGCUGGCUGGAGAUGUGUAUGCAACGCUGUUAGGUUGAUCUCUCUCCCGUUCGAGCCCAACAGGUCGAACGGGCCCUUGCAUCGUGCCCUGAUCGGGGGCGCCCAACCAAACCAUGGUUGGUGGGCCCCUGUGACCAACUCUAUAUAAACAUAGGUAGGGGCCAGGGCACGACUGACGAGGUUAAUCGCUGCCACAAACCCCACCAACACUCCCUACUGAUCUAGGGUUAGCGCGGUGCUCACUGGAAGCACACCACCACUGCCAUCUUCCUGUCAUCGCCGCCAUCACCACCUCACACUACUAGGGAAAACCCUAGUAGUAGCGCGGGUUUUGAGGCUAGCAGCAGCGCGGGUGGCCGCGCUACUAAUAAGGCGCUACAGCUAACUUAUAGUAGUAGCGCGGUCCGCACCCGCGCUACUACUGUUGACGAUAUCAGCAGCGCUUUUGCGGAAUGCGCUACUAUUAGUUAGCUGUAGCAAUUUCGUUGUCCCUCACUACUGCUAUAUCUUUCAUCAUUUUCCCAUUGUACCCCUUUCCCUUUCAGAUACUAGGUACUACUAGAUAUCAAAUUCAUAAACCAUUAAAAGUACUAGGUAGUACUCCCUUCGUUCCAAAUUACUCAUCGUGGUUUUAGUUCAAACCACGAUGAGUAAUUUGGAACGAAGGGAGUACUAGAUAACAAUUUCAUGCAUAGUCAACAUGCAUCCUCAAGUAGUACAAGGUCAUAUCGACGGCGAUCAUCAUAUGUAGUUCAAGACGAUAUCGACGACGAUCAUCAUAUGUAGUUCUAGAUGAUAUAGCCACACACACACAUAUGUUGUGAUGGAUCCCCUUGUAGUAAGGCGUAGUCCAGCUGAGCCUUCUUCAUCAGGCUCGAUACCAUAACUCACAGAUAGGCUCUUUGCCAAUUUCUGAAUAAGAAAAACAUAUCAAUUAAUAAAUAGCCUCGCACAUACUCUUGCAAAUAAGUAUAUAUGGAUUAUCUGCACUAUUAAUAGUUCCUUAGACUCUACACUAAUAAGCAUGUGAUCGAACUCUACACUAAAACAUAUCAUCGACUAGAUUCCACAUAACAUACCAUAUCAUUGGACUGUACACUAAGUAUUUCAUCGGAUAAUUUGCAUUUGUAAGUAUAACAUACCAUAUCACGUCGAUCAACCAUGGUACUUAUCAGGCGGGUCACUGAUAACCCACAAGUGUAGGGGAUCGCAACAGCUUUCGAGGGUAAAGUAUUCAACCCAAAUUUAUUGAUUCGACACAAGGGGAGCCAAAGAAUAUUCUUGAGUAUUAGCAGUUGAGUUGUCAAUUCAACCACACCUGGAUAACUUAGUAUCUGCAGCAAAGUAUUUAGUAGCAAAAGUAGUAUGAUAAUAAAAGUAACGGUAGCAAAAGUAAUGUUUUUGGGUUUUGUAGUAGUUGUAACAAUAGCAACGGAAAAGUAAAUAAGCGUAGAACAAUAUGUGAAAAGCUCGUAGGCAAUGGAUCAGUGAUGGAUAAAUAUGCCGGAUGCGAUUCCUCAUGUAAUAGCUAUAACAUAGGGUGACACGGAACUAGCUCCAUUUCAUCAAUGUAAUGUAGGCAUGUAUUCCGUAAAUAGUCAUACGUGCUUAUGGAAAAGAACUUGCAUGACAUCUUUUGUCCUACCCUCCCGUGGCAGCGGGGUCCUAGCGGAAACUAAGGGAUAUUAAGGCCUCCUUUUAAUAGAGAACCGGAACAAAGCAUUAGCACAUAGUGAAAACAUGAACUCCUCAAACUACGGUCAUCACCGAGAAGUAUCCCGAUUAUUGUCACUUCGGGGUUGUCGGAUCAUAACACUUAAUAGGUGACUAUAGACUUGCAAGAUAGGAUCAAGAACACAUAUAUAUUCAUGAAAACAUAAUAGGUUCAGAUCUGAAAUCAUGGCAUUCGGGCCCUGGUGACAAGCAUUAAGCAUAGCAAAGUCAUAGCAACAUCAAUCUCGGAACAUAGUGGAUACUAGGGAUCAAACCCUAACAAAACUAACUUGAUUACAUGGUAAAUCUCAUCCAACCCAUCACCGUCCAGCAAGCCAACGAUGGAAUUACUCACGCACGGCGGUGAGCAUCAUGAAAUUGGUGAUGGAGGAUGGUUAAUGAUAACGACGGCGACGAAUCCCCCUCUCCGAAGCCCCGAACGGACUCCAGAUCAGCCCUCCUGAGAGAUAUUAGGGCUUGGCGCCAGCUCCAUGUCGUAAAACGCGAUGAAACUUUCUCUCUGAUUUUUUUCUCCCCGAACGUGAAUAUAUGGAGUUGGAGUUGAGGUCGGUGGAGGUCCAGGGGGCCCACGAGAUAGGGGGGCGCGCCCAGGAGGAGGGAGCGCGCCCCCCUGUCUCGUGGACAGGGUGUGGGCCCCCUGGUCUUGAUUCUUUCGCCAAUAUUUUUUACAUUUUCUGAAAAGUGCCUCUGUGGAUUUUCAGGACAUUCCGAGAACUUUUAUUUUCUACACAUAAAACAACAUCAUGGCAGUUCUGCUGAAAACAGCGUUAGUCCGGGUUAGUUUCAUUCAAAUCAUGCAAGUUAGAGUCCAAAACAAGGGCAAAAGUGUUUGGAAAAGUAGAUACGUUGGAGGCGUAUAAACUCCCCCAAGCUUAAACCUUUGCUUGUCCUCAAGCAAUUCAGUUUAUAAACUGAAAGUGAUAAGAAAAACUUUUACAAACUCUGUUUGCUCUUGUUGUUGUAAACAUGCAAAGCCAGCAUUCAGGUUUCAGCAAAUAUUAUGAACUAACCAUACUCACAAUAACACUUAGGUCUCACAAUUACUCAUAUCAAUAGCAUAAUUAGCUAGCGAGCCAUAAUAAUAAAACUUAGAUGACAACACUUUCUCAAAACAAUCAUAACAUGAUAUAACAAGAUGGUAUCUCGCUAGCCCUUUCUAAGACCGCAAAACAUAAAUGCAGAGCACCUUUAAAGAUCAAGGACUGACUAAACAUUGUAAUUCAUGGUAAAAGAGAUCCAGUCAAGUCAUACCCAAUAUAAAUCAAUAGUAAUGAAUGCAAAUGACAGUGUGCUCUCCAGUGGGUGCUUUUUAAUAAGAAGGGUGAUGACUCAACAUAAAAGUAAAUAGAUAGGCCCUUCGCAGAGGGAAGCAGGGAUUUGUAGAGGUGCCAGAGAUCGAUUUUAAAAUAGAGAUUGAAUAAUAUUUUGAGCGGCAUACUUUUGCUGUCAACGCAACAACUAUGAGAUGGCUGUAUCUUCCAUACUACAUGCAUUAUAGGCAGUUCCCAAACAGAAUGGUAAAGGUUUAUACUCCCCCAACCACCAACAAGCAUCAAUCCAUGGCUUGCUCGAAACAACGAGUGCCUCCAACUAACAACAGCCCUGGGGGAGUUUUGUUUGAUUAUUUUGAUUUGCUUUGAUCUUUUUGGAUCAUGGGACUGGGCAUCCCAGUUACCGGCCCUUUCUCGUGAAUGAGGAGCGGAAUCCACUCCUCUUGAGAACAACCCACCUAGCAUGGAAGAUAUAGGCAGCCCUAGUUCUAACAUGAGUUGCUCGAUCAUACAAGACAAAAUUUCAUUUGAAGGUUUAGAGUUUGGCACAUACAAAUUUACUUGGAAUGGCAGGUAAAUACCGCAUAUAGGAAGGUAUAGUGGACUCAUAUGGAACAACUUUGGGGUUUAAGGAGUUUGGAUGCACAAGCAGUAUUCCCGCUUAGUACAGGUGAAGGCUAGCAAAAGACUGGGAAGCGACCAACUGAGAGAGCGACAACAGUCAUAAACAUGCAUUAAAAUUAAUUCACACCGAAUACAAGCAUGAGUAGGGUAUAAUCCACCAUGAACAUAAAUAUCAUGAAGGCUAUGUUGAUUUGAUUCAACUACAUGUGUGAACAUGUGCCAAGUUGAGUCACUCAAUUCAUUCAAAGGAGGAUACCAUCCCAUCAUACCACAUCAUAAUCAUUCUAAUAGCAUGUUGGCACACAAGGUAAACCAUUAUAACUCAUAGCUAAUCAAGCAUGGCACAAGCAACUAUAGUCUCUAAAUGUCAUUGCAAAUAUGUUUACUUCAUAAUAAGCUGAAUCAGAAACGAUGAACUCAUCAUACUUACAAAAACAAGAGAGGUCGGGUUCAUACCAGCUUUUCUCAUCUCAAUAAGUCCAUCAUAUAUCAUCAUUAUUGCCUUUCACUUGCACGACCGAACGAUGUGUAUAAUAAUAAGAGUGCGCGUGCAUUGGACUAAGCUGGAAUCUGCAAGCAUUCAACUCAAUAGAGAAGACAAGGUAAUAUGGGCUCUAAAUUAAAUGAACAAUCAUGCAUAUGAGAGCCACUAAGCAUUUUCAAUAUGGUCUUCUCGACCCCCAAAGGAAAGAAAAGAAAAUAAAACUAUUUACACGGGAAAGCUCCCAACAAGUAAGAAGAAGAACAAGAAAUCUUUUUGGGUUUUCAUUUUAAUUUCUACUACAAGCAUGGAAAUUAAACUAACUAAAUUUUUUUGGUUUUUCUUAAGAUUUAUCAAACACACAAGAAGAAAACUAGAAAAAGAAAUUUAAACUAGCAUGGAUAAUACAAUGAAAGAGUAUGAGCACCAACGACUAGUGUGUGAACAUGAAUGUAAAGUCGGUGAGAAAUACGUACUCCCCCAAGCUUAGGCUUUUGGCCUAAGUUGGUCUAGUACCAAGGACCGCCCGGCUGAUAUCCGUAAGUGAAACUGGGGUCGUACUAAGAUGCAGCGGCAACCGCCUCCAGAGCUGCAGCGUGUUGGCGAGCUGCCUCCGCUCUCCCCUCGUGUUCAGCUGCUUCCUCCCUGGUGACAACAUAUCUUCCUUUUGCCUGAUAAUCAAAAAGGUAGGGAGCAGGAAGAGUAACAUGGACGACGUUGCGUCUGUCAUAGAUUAGUCGAUAUUGGAGGAAUUGUUCGUUCCUCCCAAGAAAUUGAUGAUUGACCAUAGCUUCAGAAUCCAAAUAAACAGGAGGUAACAUCAUAUCACCCUCUCGUGGGGCUAUACCAAGAUAAUUAGCCACAUGGGUUGCAUAAAUUCCUCCAAAUAAAUUUCCCUUUCUACUAUUAUUCUGCAACCUACGUGCAACUAUUGCCCCCAAGUUAUAACCUUUAUAACCUAACACAGCACUCUUGAGGACACACAGAUCAGGGACACACAUGUGGCAUGCUUCAUCUUUAUCGUUAAUGCAUCUACCAAUGAAGAGAGCAAAAUAAUGUAUAGCAGGAAAAUGAAUGCUCCCUAUGGUAGCUUGUGCUAUGCCCCUAGAUUCUCCCACAGUAAUACUAGCAAGGAAAUCUUGAAAUUCAGAUUUGUGAGGAUCAUUAAUAUUACCCCACUGCGGAAGUUUGCAAGCAGUUGUAAAAUCCUCUCAGUCCAUGGUAUAAGAUGUAUCAUAAAUAUCAAAUAUGACACUAGGAGAAUUACGCGUGCAGUUAUAUUUAAACCUCUGAACAAAGGAAUCGGUCAAUUGAUAGUACGGAGGACACUUAUCUUGUAAGAAGUCCUCCAACUCAGCAUUACGCACAUAUGCGUCAAAUUCCUCCUUGAAGCCUGCUUUGACCAUAAAAUCAUCGGAUGGCCACUCACAAGCUCGUACAUCCGCGUCCCUCGGCAAUUCAACAUCUUGCUCACGUAUAGCAAUCCUGGGCCCUUUCUUCACCGAGGAACCACCUUGGUACCUUCUUCUAAGCAUAAUUCUUUUUCUGAAAUAUUUCUGAAAUUUUAGUAACUUCAAAAUAAAAGUGAAUAAAGCUAAACAAGAUUGAUAGCAACUACUCCUACAAGUGCCUAGAGCCUAUAUCAUGCAUUAGAAUUGCUUGGGGCCUCAUAAAUUCAACAUGCAAGCUCAAGAACAUGGUCACCUAUGCAGGAAAAAUUUGCAAUGAAUAAAGCACUAGAACAAAAACUAAUUGGACCAAUGGAGGAGUCACAUACCAAGCAACAAUCUCCCAAAGCAUUUUUGUGAAUGGAGCUUUGAGCUAGGAGAUCGAAAAUUGCAGCAAAAUGAGCUAGAACUCGUGCUUGAGCUAAAUGGGGAUUUUUUGGGUAGAAGAUGAAGUGUGUGGGUGCUGGCAUAAGUGGAGGGAGGCCACCAGGGGCCCACGAGAUAGGGGGGCGCGCCCAGGUGGGGUUGGCGCGCUCUCCACUCUCGUGGCCUGGUGCUUGCCCGUCCUGUAGUGAUUUCGGUGCCUAAAAUCCUCAAAUAAUCCAUAAAAAUCAUACUAAAUUUGCAGGGCAUUUGGAGCACUUUUAUUUUCGGGAUAUUUUUUAAUGCACGGAUAAUUCAGAAAACAUACAGAUAAUACUAUUUUUGCUUUAUUUAUUCUAAAUAACAGAAAGUAAAGAGAGGGUACAAAAGGUUGUGCCUUCUAGUUUCAUCCAUCUCGUGAUCAUCAAAAUGAAUCCACUAACAAGGUUGAUCAAGUCUUGUUAACAAACUCAUUCCGAAUAACACGGAACCGGAGAAAUUUCGAAUAACACUAAGUUACCUCAAGGGGGAUAUGAAAAUCCCUAACAAUAAGAAUAUCAUACUUUUUCUUGACAGCAGGGAGAGGAAAUUCAAAACCUCCAAUAAUAAUACUUGGAACUUUUCCAAUAGAAUUGAUACUAUGAACUUGAGAUUGUUUCCUCGGAAAGUGUACCGUAUGCUCAUUACCAUUAACAUGAAAAGUGACAUUGCCUUUGUUGCAAUCAAUAACAGCCCCUGCAGUAUUAAGAAAAGGUCUACCAAGGAUAAUCGACAUACUAUCGUCCUCGGGAAUAUCAAGAAUAACAAAGUCCGUUAAGAUAGCGACGUUUGCAACCACAACAGGCACAUCCUCACAAAUACCGACAGGUAUAGCAGUUGAUUUAUCUUCCAUUUGCAAAGAUAUUUUAGUAGGAGUCAACUUAUUCAACUCAAGUCUACGAUAUAAAGAGAGAGGCAUAACACUAACACCGGCUCCAAGAUCACAUAAAGCAGUUCUAACAUAAUUUCUUUUAAUGGAGCAUGGUAUAGUUGGUACCCCGGGAUCUCCAAGUUUCUUUUGUAUUCCACCCUUAAAAGUGUAAUUAGCAAGCAUGGUGGAAAUUUCAGCUUCCGGUAUCUUUCUUUUGUUUGUAAUGAUAUCCUUCAUAUACUUAGCAUAAGGAUUUACUUUCAGCAUAUCAGUUAAACGCAUACGUAAGAAAAUAGGUCUAAUCAUUUCAGCAAAGCGCUCAAAAUCCUCAUCAUCCUUUGUCUUGGAUGGUUUAGGAGGAAAGGGCAUGGGUUUCUGAACCCAUGGUUCUCUUUCUCUAUCGUGCUUCCUAGCAACAAAAUCUCUAUUAUCAUAACGUUGAUUAUUUGAUUGUGGGUUAUCAAGAUCAACAGCAGGUUCAAUCUCUACUUCAUUGUUUUUGCUAGGUUGAGCAUCAACAUGAACAUUAUCAUUAACAUUAUCACUAGGUUCAUGUUCAUCACCUGAUUGUGUUUCAGCAUCAGAGAUAGAAAUAUCAUUGGGAUUCUCAGGCGUGUCUACAGUAAGUUCACUAGAAGCAUGCAAAGUCCUAUCGUUUUCUUUUUCUUCUUUUUCGAAGAACUAGGUGCCUCUAAAUUAUUUCUCUGAGAAUCCUACUCGAUUCUCUUAGGGUGGCCUUCAGGAUACAAAGGUUCUUGAGUCAUUCUACCAGUUCUAGUAUCCACUCUAACAGCAAAGCCAUUUUUAUUACUUAAUUCAUCAAGCAAAUCAUUUUGAGCUUUAAGUACUUGCUCAGCUUGGGUAGCAACCAUAGAAGUAUAUUUGCUAAUGAGUUUGAGUUCACCUUUAACUCUAGCCAUAUUAUCGCUCACGUGUCGUAUCUCAAAAACAUUAUUCUUUAACUCUCUACCAACAUAAGCAUUAAAACUUUCUUGUCUAGCCAUAAAGUCAUCAAAUUCAUCUAAGCAUGGGCUAUGAAAUUUAGUAGAGGGGAUUUCAACUUUAUCAUAUCUAUAGAGAGAAUUUACCUUUACUACCUGUGUCGGGUUAUCAAGACAAUGUGGUUCUUCAACAGGCGGUAUAUUAAGACCACGUAUUUCUUCAAUAGGAGGUAAAUUCUUAACAUCUUCAGCUUUAAUACCUUUUUCUUUCAUUGAUUUCUUUGCCUCUUGCAUAUCUUCAGGACUGAGAAAUAAAACACCUCUCUUCUUCGGAGUGGGUUUAGGAAUAGGCUCAGGAGAUGGCUUAAUUGUUUCAGGAAUUGCCUCAGGAAUUGGCUCAGGAAGAGUCCAAUUAUUUUCAUUAGUCAACAUAUUAUUCAAUAGUAAUUCAGCUUCAUCGACUGUUCUUUCCUUGAAAACACAACCAUCACAAUUAUCCAAGUAGUCCUUGGAAGCAUCGGUUAGUCCAUUAUAAAAGAUAUCAAGUAUUCCAUUUUUCUUGAGAGGAUGAUCAGGCAAAGCAUUAAGUAACCGGAGAAGCCUCCCCCAAGCUUGUGGGAGACUCUCUUCUUUGAUUUUUCACAAAAUUAUAUAUUUCCCGCAAGGCAGCUUGUUUCUUAUGAGCAGGGAAAUAUUUAGCAGAGAAGUAAUAAAGUAUAUCCUGGGGACUACGCACACAACCAGGAGCAAGAGAAUUAUACCAAGUCUUAGCAUCACCCUUUAAUGAGAACGGAAAUAUCUUAAGGAUAUAAAAAUAGCGAGACUUCUCAUCAUGAGUAAACAGGGUGGCUAUGUCAUUCAACUUGGUAAGAUGUGCCACAACAGUUUCAGAUUCAAGGCCAUAAAAAGGAUCAGAUUCAACUAAAGUAAUAAUCUCAGGAUCAACAGAGAAUUCAUAAUCCUUAUCAGUAACACAGAUAGGUGAAGUAGCAAAAGUAGGGUCAGGUUUCAUUCUAGCAUUGAGACUGCUACUUCCAUUUAGCUAAUAGUUUCUUAAGAUCAUAUCUAUUAUUGCAAGCAAAUAUAGCUCUAGAAGCUUCUUCAUUCAUAACAUAACCCUCAGGAACAACAGGUAAUUCAUAAUCAUUAGGAGAAUUUUCAUCAUCACUAUCAUCAAUAAUAGCAUCUUCAACAAUUUCAUUCCCCCUAACUCUAGCAAGUUGUUCAUCAGGAAAUUCACCUAAUGGCAAAGUAGUAUCACGCGCAGAAGUAGUUUCAUCAUGCAUAGCAGAAGUGGAAUCAUCAAUAACAUGCGACAUAUAAGAAUUCAUAGCAGUAGCAGGUUUAGGUGUCGCAAGCUUACUAAUAACAGAAGGAGAAUCUAGUGCAGAGCUAGAUGGCAGUUCCUUACCUCCCCUCGUAGUUGAGGGCAAAAUCUUGGUUCUGUCAGUUCUUCAUAAUGAUCAACAGAUAUAAAUCCCAAGUGACUCAGAGAAUAGAGCUAUGCUCCCCGGCAAUGGCGCCAGAAAUUAGUCUUGAUAACCCACAAGUGUAGGGGAUCGCAACAGCUUUCGAGGGUAAAGUAUUCAACCCAAAUUUAUUGAUUCGACACAAGGAGAGCCAAAGAAUAUUCUUGAGUAUUAGCAGUUGAGUUGUCAAUUCAACCACACCUGAAUAACUUAGUAUCUACAGCAAAGUAUUUAGUAGUAAAAGUAGUAUGAUAAUAAAAGUAACGGUAGCAAAAGUAAUGUUUUUGGGUUUUGUAGUAGUUGUAACAGUAGCAACGGAAAAGUAAAUAAGCGUAGAACAAUAUGUGAAAAGCUCGUAGGCAUUGGAUCAGUGAUGGAUAAUUAUGCCGAAUGGGAUUCCUCAUGUAAUAGCUAUAACAUAGGGUGACACAGAACUAGCUCCAGUUCAUCAAUGUAAUGUAGGCAUGUAUUCCGUAAAUAGUCAUACGUGCUUAUGAAAAAGAACUUGCAUGACAUCUUUUGUCCUAUCCUCCCGUGGUAGCGGGGUCCUAGCGGAAACUAACGGAUAUUAAGGCCUCCUUUUAAUAGAGAACCGGAACAAAGCAUUAGCAUAUAGUGAAAACAUGAACUCCUAAAACUACGGUCAUCACCGAGAAGUAUCCCGAUUAUUGUUACUUCGGGGUUGUCGGAUCAUAACACAUAAUAGGUGACUAUAGACUUGCAAGAUAGGAUCAAGAACACAUAUAUAUUCAUGAAAACAUAAUAGGUUCAGAUCUGAAAUCAUGGCACUCGGGCCCUAGUGACAAGCAUUAAGCAUAGCAAAGUCAUAGCAACAUCAAUCUCAGAACAUAGUGGAUACUAGGGAUCAAACCCUAACAAAACUAACUUGAAUACAUGGUAAAUCUCAUCCAACCCAUCACCGUCCAGCAAGCCUACGAUGGAAUUACUCACGCACGGCGGUGAGCAUCAUGAAAUUGGUGAUGGAGGAUGGUUGAUGAUAACGACAGCAACGAAUCCCCCUCUCCGAAGCCCCGAACGGACUCUAGAUCAGCCCUCCCGAGAGAUAUUAGGGCUUGGCGGCAGCUCCGUGUCGUAAAACGCGAUGAAACUUUCUCUCUGAUUUUUUUCUCCCCGAACGUGAAUAUAUGGAGUUGGAGUUGAGGUCGGUGGAGGUCCAGGGGGCCCACGAGAUAGGGGGGCGCGCCCAGGAGGAGGGAGCGCGCCCCCCUGUCUCGUGGGCAGGGUGUGCGGCCCCUGGUCUUGAUUCUUUCGCAAAUAUUUUUUAUAUUUUCCAAAAAGUGCCUCGUGGAUUUUCAGGACAUUCCGAGAACUUUUCUUUUCUACACAUAAAACAACAUCAUGGCAGUUCUGCUGAAAACAGCGUCAGUCUGGGUUAGUUUCAUUCAAAUCAUGCAAGUUAGAGUCCAAAAGAAGGGCAAAAGUGUUUGGAAAAGUGGAUAGGUUGGAGACGUGUCAGUCACGAAUGGCACCCCAACAAAGUCAGCACGUGGCGGAAUUAUGUCCCACAGGUUGGACACCUCCUCCUCGCUCAGCCUCAUUCUUUGAGCUACGAUGGCUUCAUGAAGUGGGUCCUCAUCAUCUUCAUCGAGUGGUUCCUCAUUAUAUUCAUCAUCUUCAUCAUCUUCGUCAUCUUCAUCAUCUUCCACCAGGUUGAGAUAAAUGACAGCCAGCUUGGGUCUUUCUGCUUUGAAGGAGAAGCUGAUCAACUCACCAUCAGUAAGACGCAUGCGGGCGAGGAAACGGGCCCAUCCAUCUCCUCCAAUCUGCAACAUAUUGCGUCCUUUCUCGACCCCCAUAGUGUACGCCCCCCAGGAGCCUCAAAUGUCAUAGUGUCUCCUGUCAGCUUGUUGAAUUUCAACCUCACAUUGCAUGGGACGAUAUGUGUAAAAUAAGCAAAAUGGCACAAUGCAGUAAUGCCAACACUAAAAAUAAAAUAGUUGUUACAUUUCAUCUAAUUUCUUACCGCCGCAUGAUGAAAACUCGACUGGAAGUAGAUGCCAAACAGCUUGCCAGUUGCAAGGCUGCUGGCGCACCUUGACUUGCACAGUCGACAUAGUGGUGGUGGUGGUGGCGUGAUACGUCUCCAACGUAUCUAUAAUUUUUGAUUGUUCCAUGCUAUUAUAUUACCUCUUUUGGAUGUUUAUGGGCUUUAUUUUACACAUUUAUAUCAUUUUUGGGACUAACCUACUAACCGGAGGCCCAACCCAUAUUGUUGUUUUUUUUGCCUAUUUCAGUAUUUCGAAGAAAAGGAAUAUCAAACGGAGUCCAAACGGAAUGAAACCUUUGGGAUCUUUAUUUUUGAAACAAAUCUGAUCUGGAGAGCUUGGGGUGCAAGUCAAGAAGCCUCCGAGGGCCCCACGAGAUAGGAGGGCGCGCCCCCUUGUAGGGCGCCCCCCUGUAGGGCGCGCCCCCUGUCUCAUGGGCCCCUCGGGCGGCCACCGACGUACUUCUUCCUCCUAUAUAUACCUACGUACCCCGAAACAUCCAGGAGCACCACGAAACACAAUUUCCAUCGCCGUAACCUUAUGUAUCCGCAAGAUCCCAUCUUGGAGCCCUUGCCGGCACUCUGCCGGAGGGGGAAGCAACCAUGGAGGGCCUCUACAUCAACAUCCUUGCCCCUCCGAUGAGUUGUGAGUAGUUUACCACAGACCUACGGGUCCAUAGUCAUUAGCUAGAUGGCUUCUUCUCUCUUUUUGGAUCUCAAUACAAUGUUCUCCCCCUCUCUUGUGGAGAUCUAUUCGAUGUAAUCUCUUUUUGUGGUGUGUUUGUCGAGAUCCGAUGAAUUGUGGGUUUAUGAUCAAGUUUAUCUAUGAAUAAUAUUUGAAUCUUCUCUGAAUUCUUUUAUGUAUGAUUGAAUUAUCUUUGCAAGUCUCUUCGAAUUAUCAGUUUGGUUUGGCCUACUAGAUUGGUCUUUCUUGCCAUGGGAGAAGUGCUUAGCUUUGGUUUCAAUCUUGCGGUGUUCUUACCCAGUGACAGAAAGGGUUGCAAGACAUGUAUUGUAUUGUUGCCAUCGAGGAUAACAAGAUGGGGUUUAUAUCAUAUUGCAUGUGUUUAUCCCUCUACAUCAUGUCAUCUUGCUUAAUGUGUUACUCUGUUCUUAUGAACUUAAUACUCUAGAUGCAGGCAGGAGUCGGUCGAUGUGUGGAGUAAUAGUAGUAGAUGCAGGCAGGAGUCGGUCUACUUGUUAUGGACGUGAUGGCUAUAUACAUGAUCAUGCCUAGAUAAUCUCAUAACUAUGCGCUUUUCUAUCAAUUGCUCGACAGUAAUUUGUUCACCCACCGAUACUUAUGCUAUCUUGAAAGAAGCCUCUAGUGAAACCUAUGGCCCCCGGGUCUAUCUCUUAUCAUAUUUGCUUUCCAUCUACCUUUAUUUGCAUCUUUACUUUUUGCAUCUAUAUCCUAAAAUACCAAAAAUAUAUUUAUCUUAUCAUAUUAUCUUUAUUAGAUCUCACUUCCGCAAGUGGCCGUGAAGGGAUUGACAACCCCUUUAUUGCGUUGGUUGCGAGUUCUCAAUUUGUUUGUGUAGGUGCGUGGGACUUUUGAGGAGCCUCCUACUGGAUUGAUACCUUGGUUCUCAAAACUGAGGGAAAUACUUACGCUACACUUUGCUGCAUCACCCUCUCCUCUUCGAGGAAAACCAACGCAAGCUCAAGACGUAGCAUGGCGCCAUUUUUCCUAAAGCAAUAUGAGCAAAGGAUUAACGAUCCACUUCACAGGAAAGAAAAACAGUAGCAUGUGAUAUUUUUGGUUCUUCCGCGAGAAGCAAUCUGAUGGACAUAUAUAAUUCUAAGAUCUAGUAACAUAUUAGAUGACAAGGUACCACCUACAUUUUGCCAAAAAAUAACUUAUUACAAAAAAACAAAAGCAUCUACCUAUCCAUGUACAGAAAAAAUAACAAUAAAAUGGAUCAUACUAAAUCAACUAGCCUACUAAAUCAACUAAAUCAAAAUGUUCUUAAUCAACUAAAUCAACUAGCCUACUAAAUCAACUAAAUCAUAUCAACUAAAUCAAAAUGUUGCAUAUGAACUAGCCUACUAAAUCAAAAUGUAGCAGGGAGGAGGGAGAAGGAGGGGUGACUCGAGGAGGGAGAAGAGAGUAGGACGAAGGAGGAAGGUGGAGCGAGGAGGGGUCGGCCGACGGCCAGUGGAGGGAGGACGGAGGAGGAAGGCGGAGCGAGGAGGGGCCGGCCAGUGGCCAGUGGAUGGAGGAUGGAGGAGGAGGCCGGUACUGAGUCCAGCAAGGAGGAGGAGGUGGCGGCGGCACAGAGGGAGGAGGGGCAACGGGGGAGGACCGGCGCGGGGGGUUGAGGGGGAGAUCCAGUGAGUGUGUGAGUGUGAGUGGAUCGGAUAGAGGAGAGGAGGGUGGGAGAUGGAAUGGCUUAGAAGUAGCGCGCUAUAGAGAAAGGCUCUACUGCUAAACUACCUAGCAGUAGCGCCUUUCACAAAGAGAGCACUACUGCUAUGUGUCAGCAUGUAAAAAUAGACUUCAAAAAUACAUUGAUCAUCAACGAUCUUUUUGUGUACAAUCUGAUUUGUCAAUAUGAGUCCUCAUCGGUUUAGGAACCGGUGAAGACUCAUAUUGCGGCCACAAAUUCUACACAUAGAGUUCAAUGAAGACCAAGUGCUUGUCAAAGUUUGAGAAGUAACAUAUUUAAGGUGGUAGAAACUCCCUUCACGGAGCGAGGUGGGACUAAAAUUUUGUAGUAAACUUAGCAGUAGCGCUUAUUGGUGAAAUGCGCUGCAACUAUGAUCCGUGGCAGUAGCGCUCUUCGUGAUAACGCGUUGCUGCUAGAACUAGCCACGCGGCGGCCUCGUGCGAAUUAUAGCAGUAGUGCUUCUUAGAGCGGGUGCGCUAUUGCUAUAUUUAUUUCAGCAGCGAGUUAUGUCUGUGCGCGCUACUGCUACGUAGCAGCAACGCCUUAUUUUAAAGUGCGCUGCUGGUAAGAUUCUGUGUAUAGGCUUUUCCCUAGUAGUGUCACCACGAUGGCCUCCGGCUCGAGAUUGUCCGGAUAGGCAGAAGGUAGGGCUACCGGAGUCUCUAGCCUACCCCGAUACAGAGGAUCUAACAAUGGUUUCAGAGCCAUAAAGGCUAAGAUCUUUGGUAGAAAAGGCUAUACAGCAAAAGAAAAGUCCGUCCCCCCGUGCCCUAAAAGAACAAGAGGGGCAAAGGGAAAAGACAUCGCAUCGCUGCAAGGCCGUGUCAUUCCUCUUGAUUCGAACACGCAUCGGCAAGCCGAGGCUUCCGGAAGAAGAACCACCGGAGGUGGCAAUUGCUCGCUGGAAAAAAAAGGGGGUGGGUUAGCACCGCGGCCAAAUCCCUCGACGGCGGCACGCUCGCUGCUAGGGAGGACGCGCGACCGGAGGAGGAUGGCCACGGCCCAAUCUGGCCGCUCUCCUCUUCCUCUCGCUGAAAAGGAAAGGGGGAGCCUCGAUGCGCCUCGAUGUCUCUGUCUCUCAUGGAAACGGAGCGGGAAGAGGGAAGGUGCUGGCUCAAAGGGCGUCGCCCUGGAUCGCCACUCCGCCCUAGCUAGCCGCGCCGGCAUGGCUCGCGGGGCCAAUACUGAGCGAGCGGCAAGAGCAGCGCGUAGAUCGAGGGAAAAGAGGAGUAAAAGGUACUCGUGCGGCGCUGUGGCAACGUCGUCGCCGCCGGUCGCCGGGGCCCCAACCUGCCGCCACUCGGGCGCGGUCACGUGCGUCGAAGCAAGAGAGGCAGGGAGCGGCGUGCGUGGGAAAGAAUGGCGCUAGGGUUCUGUUCGAGCGGCUGACCGAGCUGUUUUGUUCGGGCGAGAUGAGCGGGUGGCCGUCGGAUCUCCAUGGAUGGCUACGAUGGAAACCCUAGCGAAGUAGCUGGGCCGAAGGGCCGAAAGUGGACGAGACCGGCGGCAGCGGCGCGUGCGCCGGCGUUGGGCUGAGGCCACAGCCGCGGGCGGCGCGCAGGCCAGGCCGUGGCCCGGCUUUCUCCGCUGCGGGCCGCGCGCGCUCGGCUCUGCUACAACUUAUUUUGAUAUUUCAGAGAAUAGAAAAUUUUCAGAAAAGAAAUGUUCAUGAAUUUUUAUAAAGAAAAUAAUAAAAAUUAUGAUUUUUUAUUCGGUCAAAUAAAAGUUUCUGUAAAGAGUAAAAGUUCAUGAAUUUUUUAUUCAUGUUUUUUCCUCUGCGUAAAUAAUUAGUAGUGCUCUUUUUAUAAUGAAAAUAAAAGUUUAGAGAGAAUUAUGUUUUUUUAAGAGUAUGUUAAAGUGAUUAUUAAAAUGAAUAUGAUUAUGUUAUUUUUUAUGAUCAACGUUAUUAAAUGUGCAUUUAUUUCUAAUAUUUUGCCCAACGAUUAUAUAGAUUUAAUUGCAUAGACAAUUGGUGUAAACUGCAAUAUGUCACCUGGAUCAUGGGACAUUGAAAAGACAAUAGCAAUGUGUGUCCAAGAAGAGGACAGACUCAAAGCCUCACAUGGUGGUUCACUCAACUAUGUGAAGGAUAACAAGAAAAGGAAUUACAAAGGUUCUCCUUCAAAGCCACAUGGAAAAGCUCCCUAUCAGCAUCAACGUCAGCAAGAACCUUUCUUAGUGGACAAAGACACUUGUCUCCACUGCAAGCAGAAAGGGCAUUACAAGAAAUACUGCCCUUCUUGGCUGAAGUCAGUCAUGGCAAAAAGAGGUAACAAUAUAGUUUCCUUUGUAAAUGAAUCCUUGUAUACAUAGUUUUCAAAAUCCACUUGGUGGAUUGACUCAGGAGCAACUGUUCAUGUUGCAAAUUCUUUACUAGGAUUCCAUUCGACAUGGACUACGCAAAGAAGCGAAAGACGCAUUGAAGUGGCAAACGGAGUUAAAGCAGAAGUUGAAGCUAUCGGUGACAUCUCCUUGGAGUUAGCUGAUGGAUUCAAUCUUAUACUUAGAGAUGUUUUAUUUGUUCCAUCAUGUCAUAGAAACUUAGUUAGUGUUUCUUGUUUGGACAAAGAUAAUUCUGAAUGAUAUUUUGUACAUGGCAAGUGUGUCAUAUGGUUAAAUAAUGCUUAUGUGGGUGAUGCUUUACUACACGAUGAGCUUUAUUUGUUACCACUUUGUGAAAAAGUUUAUUCUGUAUGCAUUGUGAAAGAACAUGUUUCCACGUCGAAUAAAGAACAUUGCAAAGUUAGAUACCAAAACAGUGAGUUGCCACUUCAUUGGUUAUCCAGACAGAUCAAAGGGUUUUUGUUUCUACUGCCCAGACAGAUAUACAAAGUUUGUAGAAACAAGACAUGCAGUCUUCUUAGAGGACGAAAUGAUGAGGGGGAGCUUGGUAGCUCAAAAAAUUGAUCUUGAGGAGAAGAGGGUGCAUGCACCUAAUCCGAUGACUCAGGAGCCAUUUUUCUCACUACCAGUUGCAACUCCACCCAUGACAACUAUGGGGAUAGACCUGGAACCUGUCCGUCAGGAGCCGACUGAACCCGUUGUUGAGCAUGAAAGGGAGGUGUAGCAGCAAAUUUUAGAAGAAGUGGCAGAACUAGAGGCACAGAAUGUGCCAGAAACUGAAGCUCUUAGAAGGUCUACAAGACCAAGAAAGUCAGCUAUUUCUACUGACUUUAAAGUUUAUAACACAGAAAUGGUUCAUAUGGAAAAAGAUCCCACCUCAUAUGAAGAAUCCAUGAGAAGCCCUCAUUCAUCGAAGUGGAUGAAGGCAAUGGAAGACGAGAUGAAAUCGAUGCGUUCCAAAGAUGUUUGGGACUUAGAGGAAAUUCCUAAAGGAGCCAAGACAGUAGGCUACAAAUGGUUCUACAAAACUAAGUAUGACUCCAAAGGGAAUGUAGAAAAGUAUAAAGCAAGACUUGUGGCAAAAAUAUUUACACAAAGAGAAGGGACAGAUUACAAUGAGACAUUUUCUCCAAUCUCAUGUAAGGAUUCCUUCAGAAUCAUAAUGCCAUUAGUUGCUCAUUUUGAUUUAGAGUUGCAUCAAAUGGAUGUAAAGACGGCAUUUCUCAACGGAGAUUUAAAGGAAAAUAUCUACAUGAAACAACCCAAGGGUUCUAUCAUGGAAGGCAAGAAAAAUAUGGGAUGCCGCCUGAAGAAAUCCAUUUAUGGAUUAAAGCAAGCCUCUAGACAGUGGUAUUUAAAGUUUAAUCAAACGAUUAAAGUUUUGGAUUCAAAGAAAAUAUUGAGGAUAACUGCAUUUAUGCAAAGUUUAAAAAUGGGAAAUAUAUUUUCCUAAUCUUGUAUGUGGAUGAUAUCCUGCUUGCUAGUAGUGAUGUUAGUCUACUACAAGAAACAAAGAAGUUCUUAUCCUCAAAUUGUGACAUAACAGAUCUUGGUGAAGCAUCAUAUGUUUGGGGCAUAGAAAUUCACCGAGAUAGGAACAAUGGAGUCUUAGGACUAUCGCAGAAAGCAUAUUUAGAAAAGGUUCUUAAAAAGUAUAAUAUGCAUGCGAGUAAAGCCACACCUGCUCCUAUAGUCAAGGGCGAUAGUUUUGGGAAAUUCCAAUGUCCCAAGAACCAGUACGAGAUCGAUCAAAUGAAAGCAGUACCAUAUGCUUCAGCUGUUGGCAGCUUACAGUAUGCACAAGUGUGCACUCGCCCUGACUUAUCAUUUAUCAUCGGGGUACUCGGUAGAUAUCAAGAGAAUCUAGGCAUAGAGCACUAGAAGAUGGUAAAGAAAGCAUUGCGUUAUGCGCAAGGCACGAAGGACUACAUGCUAAUAUACAUGAGAAGUGAUUCCCUAGAGAUAAAAGGGUAUUCCGACGCAGAUUUUGUGGGGGACACAGAUGAUAGAAAAUCCACGUCAGGAUACGUAUUCACUCUCGCUGGGGGAGCUAUUUCGUGGAAAAGCUCCAAACAGUCGAUAGUUGCAUCUUCCAUGAUGUAUGCAGAAUUUAUAGCAUGCUUCCAGGCCACAGGGCAGGCGAUAUGGCUAAAGAAAUUUGUACCCGACUUGAAAGUGGUAGAUUGUAUUCACAAACCACUAAAAUAUGUCUAGAUCCAUCCCAUUUUAUCCAUUUUGAUGACAAGUAUUUCUGGACGGAGGGAGUAUAAGGUUAAAAGUAAAGUUGGGAUCAAAGGGGAGAAUGUUAGGUUGAUCUCUCUCCCGUUCGAGCCCAACGGGUCAAACGGGCCCUUGCAUCGCGCCCUGAUUGGAGGCGCCCAACCAAACCAUGGUUGGUGGGCCCCUGUGACCCGCGCUAUAUAAAAGGAGGUGGGGCCGGGGCACGACUUACGAGGUUAAUCGCUGCCACAAACCCCACCAACACUCCCUACCGAUCUAGGGUUAGCGUGGUGCCCACGGGAAGCACACUAGCGCCACCAUCUUUCUGUCAUCGCCGCCGUCACCAUCUCACCACGAUGGCCUCCGGCUCGAGCUCGUCUAGAGAGGCAGAAGGUAGGGCUACCGGAGUCUUUAGGGGCGUGUUUGGUUCAAGUUUCAUACAGUAGUCGCAUUGCAUACACUUCUCAACCCAGCCUGGGUGAGCAAAAACGGCCCCAAAUGCGUCAUCUGCAAGUUGUUUGGUUGCCUGCAUCGAGGGUCGCUGCAUUAGGUAAUACCCAAGUGCACUUUGUUUGGUUGCCUGCAUUAGCCCAAGUGGCACAUGAACAUGGUGUUUGGUUGCCCGCAUGGGGUGUGAUUAAGAGCUAACACUUGCACUUAGCACACGGGAUUAAGAGCUAGCAGAGGGAGGGGGAGAAGAAAUGCAGUGUGCGCCGGACCAUGGCGACUGCGGUGGAUAGUGGCUGUGGCGCCAUGUCCGACAUGACGAGCAUGGAGUCGUCGACGAGCGACUCCAUCGGCGGCACGACGAGCGACACCGUCAACUAGCAAUUGCAAGCAGCACCGACUUGGCUGCGAGCUGAGCAAGCAAACCAGGGCCGACCUCUCUCAAUUGGUCGUUGCUCCCUCCAGCUUGCUCCCGUAGCUGCGCCCUGGGCCGUGACCGUCUUGAUUCGCGCUGGUGAUUGAGGCGGUCAAGCAGGGAGGUCGAGGGAGGGGUCGCCGGCCGCCUGCCAUCCCGGACCGGAGCACAGCGCCGGCGAGAGAGACAAAUGGGGGCGGGGACCAGGCCGUCCGCGCCAGCGGCGGCCCUGCUCGCCGUCGCCGCCUGCUGUGCGGCGCUCCUCGUUGCGGUCGCUGUAGCACCACCAGCCGCAGCAGCAGCACAAGCACAUCAGGAUCGUCAGUGCAGUAGACUGCUGCCCAAAAGGAGAUGAAGCUACAAUCAUCGAAACCAAAAACUUACAACACGAAUGUUGUGAGGAACUGGGAGAUUAGGCUGCUGGUCAAAGGAAAACUCAAAUGAUCGAUCGUGCGCGAUGAAUCUGACAAAAUUCGUCAAGAACAGCUUCAAACGGGAAGACGAAAUUAAGAACUUACAGCCGACGAAACUACGAACUGAUCGUCCGAAUGGAACCGUAGCAUCGAGGUGCAUCUUUUUCAUGUAGAGCUUACCUCAAACCGAAGCACCAUUGUGUAGAUCAGAGGGGCAUGGAAGAAAGGAGAUUAGUGAGGAGCUUACUAGAGGUUGAAGAAGACACCACAUAAACAGCUCGCAUCCCUCUCGUUUCUCCUCGUGCAGGGGCUCACUCGCUGAGCUUCCGCUCGGCCUGGCUCCAGAGAAACUGUCGAUUCCUGGGUUCCCAGUGAGCCAGGCUCAAAGGUGCUUUAAGCUUCGUGCUAUGCAGGCCCAACCGUAAAACCACGCAACCAAUCAGCCCAUUCCCUUCCCGCGCGGGCCUGAUUGGGCCUGCUGCAGGCAACCAAACACGCCCUAGCCUAUCCCGAUCCAGAGGAUCUAACAAACAUGACUAUUAUAGCAAACUGCAACCAAACACGGCUAGGAGUACAGAAUCUGUGUCGAGACGGUUUACGUAUAUCGUUUGACUCCUCCUGAUCCGCAUCGGGAUGCCUGACGGCGUAGUGGGAGUUGCAUGUGACUUGUGGGCCAUGGGCCAUAAUAAAAUAAGAAAUACAUAAAUUCGAGCUGGGCCUAUAGGACUGGGGGUGCGCAUCACGAGCGAACUUGGCGGUACUGAUAACAAGAUCACUGCUGCUCGCGAUCACAAUGUACAAUGGUUCUAUCUUAAGAGUGUCACGUAGGAUAAAUGAUGAGGUGGGGAAGAGAGAAAUCGUAAGAUAAGGCUUGUCUUUUCUUAUUUAAGAGAAGACAAGAGAUGAUCUCUUAGUAUAAUUUGUCUCACCAUGUUUUUAGGAACAACUAAUUAUUAAAGAUAAGGCUAAAAAAUGACCCAUAGUAGACAUGUUUUUUUGUCAUCUCGAAUUUACAUGCAAGACUUAAGAUAAGACUAUCUUAUCAACCAUUGUACGUGCCCUAACACUUUUAGGUGCAUCUAGUGUUUUAAUUAUAUUUAGAAAGUGACUAGCAGAUGGCUACAAAUGCUGUUACUACUUCUACAGAUGAGAGAAAAUAUGUCUCUCCAGUUGGCUGCACAUGCUAGAAUUGGAGUCGCUACAAAAGCAGGAUCAUUGCCCCUCGACGCCCUCGUAGAACAGCAUGAGGCACAAGCACAUAAAAAUACCUGGAAUAAAAUUGUGCUAGUGCAACUAGAGCACAUGAAAACAAUGGUGAAAGAUAAAACAAGAAUUGAAGUUGCAGCACAAAUCAAGAUGAUCAACUGUACAAAUAAAACUGGUUUCUUCCUCCUGGACCCUCCUGAGUCGGGACCCACUACCACUACCAAUCAUCGCACCCAUCUAAACAUGCCAAUCAUUCAUCACGGAUCAAUCCAUCCAACAAGGAAAAUAAAAUAAACAGACAAAAAAAUACCACCAAAAAUAACGAGACUAGCAAGAAGUCUUGAUCUUGCAUUCAGUUGCUUUCUUCCUUUCCAUCAUCCAUUUCUGCAAUCUUCUUCUUAACCCAGCAGUGAGCAGUCCAAUGAUGGCCUCAGCCAAUCCCAGGAAAAGACACCAGGAUUCGAUCCUAGCCCACCCCACUAGCACGAUUGCGAUAUGAUCAUGUUGGAUUCAGAGUUUUUCAUCAUGCGAGCUUGC
This 64364-nucleotide long non-coding RNA is filed under the name Triticum aestivum (bread wheat). RNAcentral describes it as "long non-coding RNA (TAES_LNC006999)". The record is from RNAcentral. Lineage: Eukaryota; Viridiplantae; Streptophyta; Magnoliopsida; Poales; Poaceae.